Molecule: long non-coding RNA, 57328 nt
Filed under: Sorghum bicolor (sorghum)
Lineage: Eukaryota; Viridiplantae; Streptophyta; Magnoliopsida; Poales; Poaceae
Description: long non-coding RNA (SBIC_LNC002396)
Rfam family: Plant small nucleolar RNA R71 (bases 14010-14116)
Source: RNAcentral
GCGGGUUUCUUGUUACUCUUGGUGGUUGCCGCCACCUAGACGGCUUGGAGUAGUAGAGGAGGAUUGGCACGAGUUGGUGAUUGUUCGUGGCCAUCUCCCGGUGAUUGUGAGGGGUCUUGUACCUUCCUCGGCGAAGAGCCGAAAGGUAACUCUAGUAAAGUGCUCAUGUCAUUGAGCUAGCUCACUUGUGGGUAGGUUCUUGUGGUGUCCUAGUGAGGACGAGGUUCGUGCUACACCUCUUAGCCACCGAACCACCAAGUGUUGGUCGACACAACGGGGGCGUAGCGUGCCGGCAAGCACGUGAACCUCGAGAGAAAAAUCGUGUGUCUCCAUUGUUCUUGUUGAUUAGAUUUCUCCUGGUAAUUGGACUUCAUUUUAUUGAUUGGUUCAUCCCAUCUACACGGCAUUAUAAAGAUCAAACCUUCUCUCUUACUUUCCCGCAAACUAGAGUAGCUUUCUUACUUGUAUAGAAACUUUAAAUAGCUCUCUACUGUAAGUAGUGACAUAGCUCUUGUGUGCCUAGAGAUCAUAUCAACUAGAAUUGUUGGAUAGGCGGCUUGCAAACACCCCAUUAGAGCUAGAGCAAAAAGCUACGCUUUGUUAUUUACUAACCGUUUGCUCUAGUGAGUUUGUAGAAUUUUUAAAUAGGCUAUUCACCCCCCCUCUAGCCAUAUUAGGACCUUUCAGUUGUCCCUACCUUUGAGACAUGCUUGAUUUAUUAAAUACUAAUCACACUACUGAAGGGUAGAGAUGGCGGACUAGAGGGGGGUGAAUAGUCCUUUCUAAAACUUUAACACGUCGGCUAACCGAAACAAGUGCGGAAAUAAAACUAUCGGUCUAGCCAAGACUACACCCCUCUAUCUAAGUUCUCUAGCACCUUGAAAAGAUCCUAAACAAGCAAGCAAGGUGCUACCUUAGCAAGAGCUCACCUAAACAAUUCUAGGAGCAAGGUCACAUAAACCUAUGCAACUAGUACUUUACAAACUGGGGGAGCUCCUACACAAACUAGUGAGGCAAAGCGCACAAAGCCUAAGCUCACUAGCAAGCUCAAUAAUAAGGCAACUAAUGCCAAAUUAGAGAGUGCAACUUACUUAGCUACACAAAUUAAGCAAUGUGACUAACAAGGUUACACAAACCAAAUUAGUCACGCAAGGGAACUACUUCUAGCUACACAAGCAAGAAGGUAACUAGCAAGCUACACAAACUAACUAAUUACAAGAGCAACUACACAAGCACAAGUAUGAAUGUAAGCACAAGCUUGUGUUAGGGAAUUGCAAACCAACGGGAAGAACAAUAUUGACACGAUGAUUUUCUCGCGAGGUUCACUUGGUUGCCACCAAGCUACGUACCCGUUGAGACAAGCUCCAAGGUUGUCGCCGGUCCUCUUGCUAGUGGUGACCCGCAAGUCAUACUCUCCCACGUGGAGUGCUUACCACAAGCUCUAGCACUUGACCCGGUCGGACCACUUGUCGCUCUUCACGUCUCGCUCAACUAGAGUUGCUCUUCGCGAUCCCCGAGGGGUGAGCACCGUACCCCUCACAAUCUCUUCUCCGGAGCACCGCACAAUCUCCUUGCGUGCUUCGACGGAGUCACAAGACACUAAGCCGUCUAGGAGGUGGCAACCUCCAAGAGUAACAAGCACCACCGGCUCGGAACACGAACACCUAGUGCCACUCGAUGUAAUCUCUCAAUGCAACGCACUAGAAACACUCACUCGCUAUUGAUUCGCACUCUUGCAAGCACAAGUGAGUUAGAGGCUUUCCUAGCACUCCCCAAGCAAGGACACUAAGUCCCAAGGGUGCUCAGCACCAGCCAAGGCCAGCCACCACUUCUAUUUAUAGUCCCAAGGGCUAAACUAGCCGUUGCCCCUUCACUGGGCAAAACACGUAGGCACCGGACGAUCACAGGGACCACCGGACGCUCAACCCCCAGCCUCCGGUGCUCAGGCGUCAGCCACGUGUCACUAGCCGUUUGAACUCGACCGUUGCCGCCAACGGCUACUGCGCACGUGCGUCUGCACAGCACCACCGGACGAUCUACUGCGUCACACCGGACGCGUCCGGUGCACACCGGACCCGUGCGCAGAGACCUGCGCAAACUCGCAGGGUCACCGGACGCGAGCCACCGGACGCACCCUGAGCGUCCGGUGCUCACCGGACUCAUACGCAGAGAGAGUCGCCAAACCGCCCGCACACCGGACGCUGAGCACCGGACUCACUCCGGUGCGUCCGGUGCACUCUAGACAGACCCGGUAAUACACCGAACGCUAAAAGCCAGCGUCCAAUGCCUCCACGCAGUGCGUCCGGUGAGUGUUUCUCACGACUUCUCCAAAUUUCCCACCGGUGCAAUAGAAAAUAUACACUUAAGUUUCUCAAAAGCGUCGAAUCCCGCCUCGCAAGCUCGACGGGAGGGAGAGAGGAACCCACACCCCUCUCAACCCUAGGAAAACCACCUCCUUUGCAAAUAUGCCAACACCACCAAGUGUACACCACCAUGUGCAAGUGUGUUAGCAUUUUCACAAACAUUUUCCCAAAGGAGUUAGCCUCUCAACUUGCCACGCCAUGCGAUCCUAACACAUAUGCAAAGUUAGAUCACUCAAGUGGCACUAGAUAACCGAUAUGCAAACAAGUUUGCCCCUCUUGAUAGUACGGCCAUCUAUCCUAAAUCUGGUCAUAAACUUCUCUACACACCUAUGACCGGUGAAAUGGAAAUGCCCUAGGUUAUACCUCUGCCUUGUGCAUUCCAUUCCAUCUCCUCCAAUGUUGAUACAACACAUGCACCAACCAAUCACCAAAUGAUAUGAUCCACUUCAUAUCAUCACAUGACCGUAUUGGUUCAUCAAUCUUGACCUCACUUGCUCUUCACCGUUGCCUCGGUCCAUCGGCUCCAAGUCUUGCUCAAGCUUCACCGUCACACGUGGUCCCUCGCUUCAAAUCCUCCGACUUGCCCUUCACUCUUGCAACCGGUCCAUAAGCCAAGCCUCAUCUUGAUCUUCUCCACCAUGGUCACAUGACUCCAUGUCAUGUCUCAUGUGCAAUGAGCUCCUCUAUCAUCACAUCAUCACCUGUGGACUAAUCUCCUGUGUAUCUCACAUAAACACUAUUAGUCCACCUAAGUUGUCACUCAAUUACCAAAACCAAACAAGUACCUUUCAACUACUUCAUCUCCACUUGAGUAGAUCUCUAUAAAUGCUUUCAUACUACCUUUAUUUGCUUUAGUAUAUGUCUAGGAUUGGAGUAGUUUCAUUUAUCUCUUAAUUAAGCAUGGUGCUUAGUUUAGGAAUGAUGAUCUUACUUCCAAGGGAUUUUAAAUUAAGCAUGGUGCUUAAGAUAAAAUGUCCUCCUAAAAUAAAAUUAGACAUGGUGUCUAGGUUGAUUUUUGAGCCGAUAGUAUGCUAUAGUAGAUAUGGGAUAUUUUGUUGGACUAACCCCUAUAGGAAAACUUUCAAUAUCGACCUGGGAAGUCCUGAGAUAAACUCACAUUGGAGACAAAGAGAGAGACACAUGAAGGUUAACGAUUUGCACAAGGAAGACAUAGCUCAUUCAUCAUAGAGAGAUGAUCCAUGGAACAAGACAAAGAGUGCCACAAACACGAUGCACAACCGCUAAGAAAGAAAAGCUUCCACAAGGUGAUACUGUACCAUCACUCUUCAAGUAAGGUAACAUCUUAAGGUACUUGACUACCGCUUUUAUAAGCUUCUCCUUGGUUCUGGCGUUUAUAAAAUAAAGAGACAAACAUGUAUGAUUUGUAACUCCAAAUUAACCAACCCAAUUAAUUCAACAUGUUUAGUCCUUUAAUCUUUGUUCUUAGUACUACCUUCGUGAUCCCACACUCCUAAUCAUAUAAGCCAAAAUGUUGCACAUUCAAUCUUUGGAAGAUAUAAACAAAACAAAAAUAUAGAUAGAUUAUCUUUACAUUAGGUCGAGCGAUCUGAUUUGACAAAUGUUUUAAAUGCAACACUCAUGAUCUUAUUAUCCAUCAACUUUGUGUUGCUCACUAUGCUUAAGGUUAGAGAAGAACAAAUACACUUUUGGUUCUGUUGGUGUUUUUCACCAACAGGGCCUAUGCACUUGAUCUCUGCCUUGUCUCUAUGAGCAGGUACACUUCGAGCAAAACCGGAAGGAGUUUUACAACUCCCAGAUUCCACCAAGUGAAGGACUUGGAUCUACGAGCACAAACACACUGAGCAGAAUGCUGCCAAUGCCGCACCUUGAACUGCUGAACAAACGAAGAACAUGGGUGACACCGUAUCAAGAGGUACAGACGUCAAAGUCCACACUUAAUCAAAUGAUGCACCUAAAGGAGGAACACGGUGAGAAGUCUUGUCCCGAAGACUUAAAACAUUGGAUCCUUGCCGGAAGGUAAAAUCGGUAUUUAUCCAUAUUUAUCUGCAUUCCUUUUCCUUUUUAUUGCAUCACUUGCAUUAGCAUAUUUACUUUUCCACAUUAGCAUUAGAAAAGAAAACAAAAAUAUUUGUUCGUUGCACUGCAUCAUAAAAUCUAAAGCCCCAUGUGAGUAGACUUGUGGUUUAAAACCCAUAGGUAUAUUGAUUGUGGUGGCAUAAAAUAAAUAUGUUUUCAUCUUACAAUAAAAAUAUAAAAAUAAUAAGUGCAUGAUCCUGCUAAAUAAAUAAAAUUUAUUAGAAGGAAUCUCAAUAUGAUAAAGGCUAAGAGAUUUUAUGCUAACACUUAACCAGUUCCACAAAACUUUGUUGUCUAUUUGAGCUCCACAGAAUUUAAGGAUCAAAGAAGACUAGCCGGCGGAGGACAUAGUAAUUGCUGUCAGGGUGCUGCCGACAUUCAAAUACACCUCCGCCACCUGCUAGCUACAUCAGAAGAAAUUACGUCAAAAUCCAGCUUGGGAGAGAGCACCCCCAUUUAUCUAGCUAAGUGUUUCUACUCGCGUUUAUACAUUACUCAAAUAAAAAAAGAUGCAUAAUCAUAAAAACCCAAAUAAAGAUUUUGUGCUUUUAUAUAAAUCUUUGCUUAGUUUGCUAAAUAAAUAAAUAAAUAAAGUUUGCUAUGAACCCUCAUGAUAAACUCUUACAUGGAUAUGAUAAAUAGUUGCUCUGUCAUGUACCUAGUUUUCAAGUUUGAGCUCUCUCUCAAGUUUAGGCAUAACUGUUAUAAUUUAAACCUGCUCUAAACCUGAACUUAUGGGAAGAGUACUUGAUCUAAAGUCUAAGUCGUUAACGGAUACGAUAUGGGAAGGUUGAGCUGCUGUUUAUCUGUUCCUAGACAUGCAAGAAUUCUGGAGAAUUUUAUCUUUGAAAAUCUUUAAAAUGUUGCAUGAUGAGUUCUUGUAUGAUGAGAGUUUAAAAUCCUACCACAGCCAUAUAUACAUGCUUAUUAGACUAUGAGCCAUACAUUUACUUUUUACUGCUUAUGAGCAUUGUGUUCAAGCUGUGUAGACCCUUAGGAGCUUGUCAUGCGGUUAAAAUCAAGAUUCACUUGCACGUUCACUCAUAUAUGCUGCUUCUACUCCGAAAGUACGCAUCCACAUACAUCCACACAUUUCCAUAUCCAGAUUCACCCAAAAUUAUUCUACUCCUAUCUAGGAGAGAAUAGCCAAAAACAUUAUCCUAUCCCUAUUAUUCCUCGUGAAAUAAAUGCUCGAGAUAUUUUGGUUACUACCACUUGCUACAUUAUUCCAGGAGAGUGAGUGCUCUGAAAAAAAGAGAAGAAAAAAAUAUACGAGGAAAUAAAAAGGGGCAAGUGCCCGGAACCUCGAAGAAAAGAAAAAGUGAGACGAGAGGUAAAAAUAGACAAGUGUCCGAUAGUAGAAUUAGGGAUACAAGAUACCCACCUGAGAGAAAAAGAAAAAGAAAAUAUAGAGCAUCUCAUUCUCCUCAAAAAGCUUCAAAGUGCAAGAAAGGUAUGUAUCCCCUUAAAAGAGCAAAAGUAGAAUUAGACUUUCACCAUUGUUAUCAUCAUACACCAUUCAUUCGCCACACAUGCACAUCUUGAUUUGACUUAUUGACUUGUUCUUCUGGAUCUAUGGUUUGACUAUGCAAUAAAUGUCUUGUAAGUAUGUAUUAUCUGUCUCCCACCUAUGAGCUCCAGAUAUCAAAACCUUAUUAGAGUAGGGUGAGAGAGAAGGCAAUAUCACUAUGCCUCAUACCAAAAAUACCACAUACUUUGAGAGAAGGCAUAUACCAUUAUUGCCUUGGAAAGGAUCCAGAAAUACCACAAAAAGAGAGAUUUGAGAGAGUCAUACAAGGAAUCUCUGAGUUUUAUUUGAAAAUCUGCAAAAACUCCAGAACUAUAGUUAAUCGAAGAACAAGAGACAUGACGCUUGACUAGACCGUUCUAUCUUUUAACUGCUCAAGACACAAGUGACGGUUGCAAGCCCUAUGGUGGAAGGAAAAAUGAGUAAGUUUUAAGUCUUAACUGUUUACUCUAACUCAGAGAAGAGAUCUUGCUUGAAUGCAUGUGUACUUUUAAGGCAUGAAACCACUGCAGAAACUCUUGAGUUCAUCCUUGCUCAGGGACGAGCAAGAGGUAAGCUUGGGGGAUUGUUGACGGUCCUUAAGUACCAAAUUUAAUCAUCAAAUAAAUAAAGAAAAGGAUCCAAAUGCAACCAACACCUAGACUUAGGGUUUUAUCUGAUAGAAUUCCACGAGUUUUGGUGUUUGUCUAUUUCUGCAGGGGGUUAUCAGGAAAUAUGGAGAAAAGGCCCACAUGUCGGGUUUACAUAGAGAUAUUAAUGUGCCGCGCAAUUUUCUAUCAUCUAGAAGACUCCAGAAGCCACGGGAACGAACGGGAGGCCGAACGGGCCCAGGGGCAGGGCGCCCGCCCUCCCCCCUUGGGCGCCCGCCCAGCUACAGAGACCAAUCAGGUCCCGUCUCGCGGAUUAUGCUCCACCGACCUAAAGGAUCAAGGAAAACCGUGCGAUUAAUGUCGGUUUGAUCCGACGGCCCAAACUCACUUGAAGGGACUAUAUAAGCAUGCCCCCUGGCCCCUGGAGGAGGCAAUCCUCAUUAUUCAUUAGCAUAUUUUCAAGAGAGGAUUCAGAGAGAGAGGUGCCUUAGGGUUCCCACUGUUGACACUAGCUAACACCACUUAGAUACUAGGUUGUCAUCCCUAGCAUGGCGCCAGAGUGUACAAAGGUAUUUAUAAAUGUAAAGGCUUUCUAGAAAAUAAUCUAUUCUAUCCGCAAGCGCACAGAUAAAACACCUCAUUGUAGCAUUUCACCAGGAUAAGUAUUCCAGGUAUCGUUAUUUAUAAUUUUGCUUAGGGGAUCUUAAGAAGAUGGAAUUAAAUCAAAGGGGCAAAAUCUAUCAAGGCAUAGACUAAAGAUAAACUUGCAAGAACAUGAUUACUAAUGAGAAACUCGUCACACAGUCACAUACUUUAGCAGGGGGUAAACCAUAAAGAUAAUGAUAAUAAAGUAUAAGUUCAUGGGAUAAAGAGCACAGCGAUUAGAAAAUAGACUACUCCUCAUAUAUGUAGGUGAUGUCGGAUUAGCUAGAGAAUGGAUUCUAAGUCAUCUACUAACUACUAAGUCAUAAUCUACUCUAGUUAUCUACAAGAUCAUAUAUAGCAUAAAAGACUCUUCAUUCAUGUAUAAGGAACAUUGAUAAAGUAAAUCAGAACAUCGCAUGACUUACUCCACAAUACCGGUUCUGCCUGUCCUAUCAACGGAGGGUGGACUAUAUAAGAAUCAACGAAGCUGUCACUAUCGCGAACUACCACACGACUCGGCCAAUAGGAUACAUUUGCAGAUAAAUAACAUCUAAGCACCACGCUCACAUGUGAUCUAUCACCUAACUCCCUCGCGUCAAGAGCUAAGCGCUUUGCAAACUUAUACAUAAACUCAUUAUCAAUUAGAACUAUAUCAAAUAUAGAACUAGAGCAAACUAAGAACAUAAUAAUUAGAGACAUAAUGCAAUUAGAACAAUAGAAUUAGAGAAAGAUAUGAAUAAUACCAAUCUUUAUUACCGAAGAUCCGAAUCCAGAGCGUAGUGCUCUACUUCUCUAAUUGCUAUCUAAUCAACCUCUAAACUUGAAGGAUUAGGGAGUAGCUAAUUCUAAUUCUCUGUGGGAGAGAAGCUCUAAACCCUAACUUUGAUGGCUACCUCUGAAUAAUGAUUUCUCCUCCUCUCCUCCAGGGGCCAGGGGGUCUGGUUUUAUAGUCCCCUCAAGUGAACGUGAGCCAUUGGAUCAAACCGACAUAGAUUGUAUGGUUUAGAUUGAUCCUUUAGGUCGGUGGAGCGUAGUCCCGAAGCAGAGUCCUGAUUGGCUUCCUGGCCAGGGCGGGCGCCCAGCCCCCGAGCCCGAAUUGCUUCCCGUUCGUUCCCGUGGCUUCUGGACCCUUCUAGAUCAACGAAAAUUGCGCGGCACGUAAUUAUCUCGUUGUAAACAUGACAUGUGGGCCUUCUCUCCCUAUUUUCUGAUAAACCCCUGCAGAAAUAGAUAAACACCAAAGCUCGUGGAAUUCUGUCAGAUAAAACCCUAAUUCUAGAUGUUUGUUUCAUAUUGAUCCUUUUUCAUGUUUAUUUGAUUAUUAAUUUUAGUACUUAAGGACCGUCAACAAACUCCCCCAAGCUUACCCUUUGCUCGUCCCUGAGCAAAUAGCUAAACUCAGACGGAUCAGAAGUUGCUUCGAUGUUUUCUUUCCUGACAGGCACACAUGCUUUUACUUAAAAAUUCUUCCAGAUUAGAGUGAAGUGUUAUGAAGUUUAGUACCUGCACUUAAGUCUUAAGUAAUCGAAAGACAAAAUAGUUAAGUCAAGCACUAUCCCUCCUGUCUAUACUUCACCUUUGUUCUAGAGUUUUUCAUAAGUUUUCAAAAUAAAACUCAGAGUUCCUAGCAAUGAUUCUCUCAAGUCUCUCUAUAUGUGGUAUUUGUGGAUCCUUACCAUAAUGUCACUUACCUAUAGCUAAUGAAAUAUUUAAGUGGAGCUCAUAGGAGUGAAAAACAGCUGAUACAUAUGUUGUCUAAUCGAGCCAUGGAUCCAAAGGAACUCAGCAUAUAAUUAAAUCAAGAUGUGCAUGUGUGAUGGAGUAAAUGAUAGUGAUGGUGAAAAUGCAUAAGUGAUAAUAAAACUUAGUUCUCAUUGCUCCUCAUAUUGCUAUCUCUCCUCCUCUUUGAUCUUUGCUUUGGGAGAACAUGGGCUAUCUUUUUUUUUCAGGUGGGUAAUAGAUACCCCUAAUUCUAUUGUCGGACACUUGUCUAUUUUUUCCGCUCAAGUGGGCAUCUUUGUACCCCUAAUUCUACUUCGGACACUUGUCCAUUUUUACCUCUCGUCUCACUCUUUUUCUUUCUUUUUCGAGGUUCCCGGGCACUUGCCCCUUUUAUUUCCUCGUAUAUAUUUUUGCAUAACCCAUGCCUCUUCUACAUUGAAUCUUUUUAGAGAGAGAGUAUAACAAUAUUCGGGACAGUGAGUGAUAAUAUUUUUAGCAAUUUUAAUGAUUGAUGAUGAAUGCUGUGGUAGAUGCGUGCAAGUGAAUAUCUUAAUUUAACCACAUGAAAAGCUCCUAAGGGUCAACACAGCUCGAUCAAACUCAAUGUAAAUAUAGUAAAAGAUGUUAUAGCAAGUAUGGCUGUGGUAGGUAGUUUGUUAUGCUAGGAACUCAUCAUGUGCUUCGUAAGUUUUCAAAAUAAAUCUCCAGAACUUAGUGUAGUAGGAACAAGAUAAACAGUAGCUCAACUUUAUAUCAUGUCUUUCUCUUACCUAGACUUUAGUUUUAUGCUUUCCAAAGAUAGUAAUUUUAGUUUUAGUAAUUCCUGGAAGAAUUCUAAUAUAAAAGCUAGGUACUUGUAAGUAAGCAAACAGAGCAACUGUUCAUCAUUUCCAUCAUGCAUAUUUUUGGUCUUUUUAUUAUUUUUUUUAGAGAUUAAACUUAGCAGAAAAAUAAAGCACACUUAUCUACACACUCUUUUUAUUUUGUUUUCAUGUUUAUAGAAUGCAGUAAAUUAAAAAAAUAUUUAUUUGGUUUUCUAAGUUUUUUUUUUCUUUUAAGAUAAAUUAAAUACUAAGACAGAAUAGAAUAAAUAAGAACAGCAAAUAAAAACUUACUUGAUAAAUUUGGGAGGAACUCCCCCAAAGCUGGAUGUUGACGUCGGUCUUACCCGAUGUUCCAGAACCGCAUCAUGGUUGUGAUGUUAUCGUUCAUUGUUGUUGUAUCUUGUCUUAGCUCUUCUACUGCAGCGGCAUGGUCCUGGUUCCAUUUUUGUUGCUCUUCCAGGAGUCUUCCAUGUUCUGCUUGCGUAUUCUGGAUGUCGAGGAGGGUGUUGUCGGUACGAGUGAAGAAAGCACCGGCCUCUUGAUAGUAGUCAUUCGUGAAGGCGUAGGAGGCGUCGGAGUAUCGUCCUGCAUCAAAUUGGGGUGGAGGUCUGGAUCCUGAAGCUCCAUAUGGAUCAGUGGAGUACCUGCCCAUAUGAAAAGGCGGGUUUGUCCACUGGUGAUCUUGGCUCUCCGGCCAUGUCUCCUCUGUUGGCUCUUGUGGUUGCGCAUGACGAGCCCAUGGGUCUCGAAGGACUCGUGGAUUAUAAUCGCAAUAAUGCAGGUGCGCUGCUUCUUCUGGUCCAGGGUCAGCUCCAUACCAAGUGUGUUCUCUGUGAGUGGUUAUCCUUUCAGAUGCCACUCGCUGUGGAGUUCUCUGGUUCACUGGUGUUGCUGCAAUCCCAAUCAAAAAGUUUUGCACAGUGUAGAGGCCAAGGUUCGGGUUAGGUAACCGAAUCUUGCCUUUAUCAUCAUACAGCAUAUACAUUGUAUUCCCCUCUUUCUUUAACAUCCGAGCUUGUCUAAAUGUGUCAUAGCCAUGAUAAAUUCUUAAUUCUUCUAUGAAGUCCAACGAUGAGUUUUCUAGUAAGUGAAGAUUAGUGGCUAGACGAGUGAUAAGUGAAGUACAUCCUACUGGUCCCUGAAGACUAGGUAUACUAAGCCAAUGUGAAACUAAUAGUGUAACAGGUGAAGUAGGUACUUUACUAAUAGCAGCAUAUAAAAGUUGUAAAUCUCCUACUCUUACUUUCCUAAUAUCGUCACGAUAGAAAAGAUUGUACCCAAGCCAUUUGUGAAACAUCCUAAGAGUGGGGUGUUCCAUGUCACUGGUUCGGGCUUGACUAUACAAAUUAUCUCUAGAUAUUUCUCUCCAAAACUGGUGUCUCUCAAAAUUGGGUAAAUCGGAGUCAAUGUUUAGGAUGCAUCUUGAAGAGAAACCAAGAUGGUCGCUUAGCUCUCUCCAAGACAACAUAAUUUCUUGUUUGAACAUCCGAAAAACAAUUCCCCCCUCAUAGUAUUGUAAAGUGCAAAGAAAUUCGAGGGUGAGAAGACGAGAACCCAGCUCAGUUAUAUUCCAAAAAUUUGUCCAACCCAUCAUUUGAAAAAUUAAGUCAAAUUCAGUGUCCAUACCUGUUUCUCGUAGUAGGAUUGGAUCGAUAGUAGGGGUGUGAAUGAAAUCUUUAUUCUUCAAUUGCUGAUAUACUUCCUUUUCUCUUCGGGUCUUCAGUCCUAGGUCUCCUAUCUUGAGAAGGACCUUAACUUGCUGACCUGAUGAAGAUGAUGGAGCUUGUGUGGGUGUCGGGUCGAUGCUCAUCUCUGAUGGUUGUGAGGAGUGUCGGGAUGAACUCCUUGUACCAAUGUUCUUGAUAGCCUUCCCUGCAUUCUUUACCUUCUUAAACAUCCUGCAAACAAAAGUUGGCAAAAACACAACUGGUGGAAAAUGUGAGAUAAAAUGUUAGUGGUCAGCUGUCCGGAGUGUUAGUAGUCCAGGGGUUAAUCGUUCAAGACAAGUUUCUAUUUUGGUAGAGCCUCCCUCUAAACAACUUUUACUUCCGCUUGGACAGCGGGAUCACUAUUUGCUAGGUGACAAUCACUUUCUCAAAAGAACUCCAACCUUCCCUUCCACUCUCCUCUUUCUCUCUACUCUCUUCUCUUCACUACAAAAGCUCCUUCUCGGGAAACUGAGAUUUGUGUGGUUUUUUAAAGUGUUUGUGUGAAGAGAAGGGGAGCUGGAGGUGGCCUUUUAUAGGCUAAGCAGGGGACAGGGCAGGCGCCCAAGGUAGGUGGGCGGGCGCCCAACCCUGGUGUCCAUCCUGUGUGUGCUUCCUCCACUUGCUUCCUUGCUUUGAUCUCACGCAGAAUAAUAUUGUGUUGGUAGUGGUUGGACGGUGGAAAGAUGUCAGGUGAGUGGAAAUAUAUUGGUGGAUGAAAUUAUGUGAUGGGAUGUAUGUGAGGUGAAGUGUAUGACAUGUGGGACCCAAAGAGUGUGGGUCAUGCUUCUAGAAGAUUAAUAUGAUUAAAUAUAAUGCAGGAAAAAUCUAUGAAAAUUUUAAUUAAAAAUGAUAAUGGGAAAUAUUCUUGUGCCUCCACAAUAAUUAAUAAAUAUGGGUUGUUACACACCACGAAUAUUAUUUAUAUGGGGCUUUUUGAUUAUUAUAAUUAUUCUAUGAAUGUAUAUGACUAAUGCAAGAAUUAAUUAUGCAAGAAUUUAAAUAUGAGAAAAUUAAUAAUGCGGGUAAAUACCGAUUUACCUCCCGGUGAGGGUUUGGGAUUUUUAGGUCCCCCAAGCUGGACCUCCAAAUCUUUUAAUCUUCUGAGUUACCUUCCUCCGGAGAUGGUGUCUCCAGUGGUUCUUCAUGAACUUCCUUCACUGUAGAGUCUCUCUCCGGUCUGGGUUUGAAUGUGAAGUGUUCUUCUUGACCGUUUAUGUUGAACUUGAUUUCUCCUUUUCCGACAUCAAUGUGGGCAUUGGCAGUGCUCAGAAAUGGCCUUCCAAGGAUGAUGGACACUUUUGAGUCAGGACUCAUGUCCAGUACUACGAAGUCUACUGGUACCAGGAAAUCUCUGAUCUUGACUGGAAUGUUCUCGGCGAUGCCCAACGGGUGUCGAACCGAUUGAUCCGCUAGUUGUAGACACAUUGAUGUUGGUUCUAAAGUUGCAUGCUCAAGCUUUUUGUAGACUGAUGCUGGCAUCACACUGACACUUGCUCCGAGAUCACAAAGUGCAUUAUUGAAGUGUUGGUUUCCGAUCGAGCAAUCAAUAGUGGGGCAUCCUGGAUCUUCCUUCUUCUUUGGUGAUUUGUUGAGGAUGGCCGCACUACAUUCUUCUGUCAGCUUGAUAACCUCAGUGGUGGGCAGUGGUCUCUUCUUGUUAAGAAUAUCUCUGAUGUACUUUGCGUAUGUAGGUACCUGUAUGGCAUCGAGCAGAGGUAUGUUGACAUAUAAUUUCUGAAUGACCUCUACAAACUUACCAAACAGCUCAUCCGACUGCAGUCCUCUGUUUCUUCUGGGAAAUGGCAAAUAGUUGGUGUCGUAAAAACCUUUCCUCAUUUCUCCAGUUCUUGGUGGUUGGAGCAGAUCUUCUGCUUCAACUGGGCUUUCUUCUUCUAUCACUGCUGGUUGCACUGGUGCUGAUGAUCUUUGUUUCUCUUUUGGGUAUGGUGGAUCUCUGGUAGCUUUACCUCCUCUAGUAGUUAUAUUCUUUACCUGCUCAAGGUUAGUAGCAACAGGCAGUGCAGCAGCUAUCUUUAUUAAUUUAAGCUCUACCCUUUUAUUAAGAGUGUUUUGCUCAUCAAAGGCAGUUAGUAGAAAAUCCAUUUUAUUAUGUAUAACUUUUAGAGACGAUUCAUUUGUAUCUAGCCUUUGUUUAACUUUAUCAUUAAUUUUGGUUUGUUGAGCAAUUAUCUCUUUUAAUGAAAGUUGCUUGACAGUAUUACCUGAAUUCAUACCUUUGCUAUUGGGUUGACUUGAAGUUGGUUGAUAUUUAUAUGCUGUCUCAAUGGCCCUUUGAUCUUCUUUGAACUUGGCCCUCUGGUCAAUCCAAUGGAGCAAAUUUUCCAUCUUAGUUGAUAAUGCAUUUACUUCUUCUGGUAUUUCUUCAGUUUGAUGACAUUGUUGAGCUUUAUCUUGGAACCAGCUUUGGUUUUCUGCUAUCUUAUCCAAAAGUAUCUCUGCUUUUCCAGUUGUAAGCUCCAAGAAUGAUCCUUUAGCAGAUGCAUCUAGGCACUCACGAGCCUUCUGGGUUAAUCCAUGGUAGAAGGUCUACAUAAGUAACCGUGUGGUCAUUCCAUGGUGAGGACAAUCUGAUAUGUAUCCUUGAAAACGCUCCCAUGCUUCUGAAAUGGCUUCUGUCUUCUGCUGUUGGAAACUGACAAUAUUUCCUCUUAAGGCAGUUGUUUUGCCUAUAGGGAAAAACUUUGAUAGAAAGGCAUCUGACAAGUUCGUCCAGUUGUUGAUGUUAUCUUGAUGAGUGUAGAACCACUUCCUCGCUUUUCCUUCUAGUGAGAAUGGAAAAAGGCGAAGCAGUAUGACAUCUUUGUCAACUCCAUUGAUGUGGAUUGUGCUUCCAAUCUCUAAGAAAUUCUGCAAGUGUGCACUGACAUCUUCAUGUGCCUUUCCACUGAAUUGUGUAGCUUGUACCAAAUUGAUGAGGCUUGACUUGAGCUCAAACUCGGGUAUUCCUUCUUCUACUGCAAAUCUUGGACCGGUUGGAAUGUUGUCAAGACUUGGAGCAGAGAAUUCUUGCAAGGUCUUGUGUGCCAUAGCUUCAGCAAUUGGUAGCUAGCUUCUUCUUCUCUUGAUUGCUUUGGUUCUGAUGAUGUAGAGUUGAAUGUACCCAAAGUCAAUCCUGUUAUACCCUGUAUAAAAAUAUAAACAUAGAAAAACAACAGGGUGAACCUGCCAAAGCAGCGGUGCCUUGUUAUGAUUUCUCACUUAGUAGCUGUUUUAUGCAAUUAUUUCUCUAUAGUCUAGUCUAAUAUUUUAUAUGAAUAAUCCUUGAUUGAUUUUCUAGCUUUCCUUACCGUUCCUAAAUAUUACUCCUUUGUUCCCUUUUAUGACUUAUUCCUGAGACUCAUAUAAUUAUCCUAUAAUUCCUAACAUGUCCUAUAGAUCCUAUAAGCCCCCGGCAACGGCGCCAGAAAUGCUUGUUGACACUAGCUAACACCACUUAGAUACUAGGUUGUCAUCCCUAGCAUGGCGCCAGAGUGUACAAAGGUAUUUAUAAAUGUAAAGGCUUUCUAGAAAAUAAUCUAUUCUAUCCGCAAGCGCACAGAUAAAACACCUCAUUGUAGCAUUUCACCAGGAUAAGUAUUCCAGGUAUCGUUAUUUAUAAUUUUGCUUAGGGGAUCUUAAGAAGAUGGAAUUAAAUCAAAGGGGCAAAAUCUAUCAAGGCAUAGACUAAAGAUAAACUUGCAAGAACAUGAUUACUAAUGAGAAACUCGUCACACAGUCACAUACUUUAGCAGGGGGUAAACCAUAAAGAUAAUGAUAAUAAAGUAUAAGUUCAUGGGAUAAAGAGCACAGCGAUUAGAAAAUAGACUACUCCUCAUAUAUGUAGGUGAUGUCGGAUUAGCUAGAGAAUGGAUUCUAAGUCAUCUACUAACUACUAAGUCAUAAUCUACUCUAGUUAUCUACAAGAUCAUAUAUAGCAUAAAAGACUCUUCAUUCAUGUAUAAGGAACAUUGAUAAAGUAAAUCAGAACAUCGCAUGACUUACUCCACAAUACCGGUUCUGCCUGUCCUAUCAACGGAGGGUGGACUAUAUAAGAAUCAACGAAGCUGUCACUAUCGCGAACUACCACACGACUCGGCCAAUAGGAUACAUUUGCAGAUAAAUAACAUCUAAGCACCACGCUCACAUGUGAUCUAUCACCUAACUCCCUCGCGUCAAGAGCUAAGCGCUUUGCAAACUUAUACAUAAACUCAUUAUCAAUUAGAACUAUAUCAAAUAUAGAACUAGAGCAAACUAAGAACAUAAUAAUUAGAGACAUAAUGCAAUUAGAACAAUAGAAUUAGAGAAAGAUAUGAAUAAUACCAAUCUUUAUUACCGAAGAUCCGAAUCCAGAGCGUAGUGCUCUACUUCUCUAAUUGCUAUCUAAUCAACCUCUAAACUUGAAGGAUUAGGGAGUAGCUAAUUCUAAUUCUCUGUGGGAGAGAAGCUCUAAACCCUAACUUUGAUGGCUACCUCUGAAUAAUGAUUUCUCCUCCUCUCCUCCAGGGGCCAGGGGGUCUGGUUUUAUAGUCCCCUCAAGUGAACGUGAGCCAUUGGAUCAAACCGACAUAGAUUGUAUGGUUUAGAUUGAUCCUUUAGGUCGGUGGAGCGUAGUCCCGAAGCAGAGUCCUGAUUGGCUUCCUGGCCAGGGCGGGCGCCCAGCCCCCGAGCCCGAAUUGCUUCCCGUUCGUUCCCGUGGCUUCUGGACCCUUCUAGAUCAACGAAAAUUGCGCGGCACGUAAUUAUCUCGUUGUAAACAUGACAUGUGGGCCUUCUCUCCCUAUUUUCUGAUAAACCCCUGCAGAAAUAGAUAAACACCAAAGCUCGUGGAAUUCUGUCAGAUAAAACCCUAAUUCUAGAUGUUUGUUUCAUAUUGAUCCUUUUUCAUGUUUAUUUGAUUAUUAAUUUUAGUACUUAAGGACCGUCAACACCCACCUCAUAGGGCUUAGCAUCCAAUGUGAGAGUAGAACUAGUUCUACUAGAUUGAGAGAGAUAGAGUGGAGGUGUAGAUCGGAGGAAGCCCGACUUGUCGGUGUCUACUCUAAGGUUAUACCUGCGGGAUCAAGUCUCCUAACCCGAGGCUUGCUCCUAGGAUUAUUCAGUAUUUCGACUUCUAAAUUCUAGUAAGUUCUUUGUUCUUAUUAUUCUUUAGUUUAUGAGUUUACUUUAAUCUCUUCCGGUUGAGUUUAGAGUAAUCAUUGCUAGCGUAAACGUGGUGUUUGGGCUAAGGUACUCAUAGAUAUCCCCUGUCUAGCCAGACCGUGGUAGUAGCGAGGAACGUGACAUUUCCGAGUUACCUUUGUAGCCCACAUCCCGUUAGCAGGAUCGGUAGGGUUUAUAGGUGCGGGUCGAACAUCCUUUGUGGUGUCUAGAUUUCGUAAUCCUCCCCAAUAGAACAGUAGAUCGUCCUUACCAAGGCUAGAACGAGAGUGCGGUUGUAGUCUUCUCUAUACAUCGCUCACAUUGAAUCACAUUGUUUGUAGCCUAAAGGGUAGUAGCAAUAGAUUUGGUUAGUCAGAUGCACGCUUUCUCCCAAUGGUAAAAAUAUAAAUACGAUACUCUGGAUAACCUCCCGGGUGAAGUGCUCACCGAUAUCCGUGCGCUUGCGGAUCAAUUCCUGAUGGCGUUAACAAAUAUCAACACUCAUCAUCAUCAUUGUCAUUGUAUUGAUCUUCGGUCAUGACAUCUCCAAGUAUCUCAUUGGGAGAUACACCCGUCAAUCCACCUCUAAAGAUGAUUGCUCUCAAUGUCUUGAACCUCUUGGGCAAGCACAUCAAGAACUUGUGAAUGAAGUCCUCAUCCUUUACUUUCUCACCAAGGCCCUUGAGAUCAUUGAUGAUGACUUGGAGCCUAUAGAACAUUUCCGGUAUGGACUCAUCAUCCUUCAUCUUGAAGUUUGAUAGCUUGUCCUUGAACAUGUACAACUUGGCACUUUUUACCGUUGUAGUGCCUUCAUAUGUUUUUCUAGUCUUCUCCACACUUCACUUGCCUUCUCAAGAUCUUUGACUUGUUCAAACACCUUUGAAUCAAUGCCAUUAUAGAUAGUGUUGAGAGCCAUAGUAUUGCAUUACUUGUUUGCUCUCUCAUUGUCGGUGGGGUUAGCGGGGUCAAGGAUCACAAAAUGAUUCUCUGUGACUUCCCACACUCUAUCAUUGAUUGAUCGAAGGUACAUUUCCAUUUUUCUCUUCCAAUAGUGAAAAGAACUUGUGCCAUCAAAGAAUGGUGGUUUGCCCCCAACAUGGUUGAACACUAUUUGAGCUAUAAUUUAAGCACCGAGGUUGUUAAGCCUUCACAAAAUGGUGACCACGGCUCUGAUACCACUUGAAACGUCCUAAUAUGGCUAGAGGGGGGUGAAUAGCCUAUUUAAAAAUUCUACAAACUCACUAGAGCAAGUGGUUAGUAAAUAACAAAGCGAAGCUUUUUGCUCUAGCUCUAAAAGGGGUGUUUGCAAGCCACCUACCCAACAAAUCUAUUUGCUAUGAUCACUAUGCACACAUGAACUAAGUCUCUACAAGUUACACUAGUGAACUAAGCUACACUAGGCAAGGUAAGCAACUAAACUAAUUACACUAGUUUGCGGUAAGUAAUAUAUAGGAUGAGAUAUUUAUACCGCCGUGUAGGGGAUGAACCAAUCACCAAUAUAAACAAUCAAGCACCGGGAGAAAUCCAAUCAAACACAAUUGAGACACCAAUUUUUCUCCCAAUGUUUACGUGCUUGCCGGCACGCUACGUCCUCUUGUGUCGACCAACACUUGGUGGUUCGGUGGCUAAGAGGUGUAGCACGAACCUCGUCCUCACUAGGACACCACAAGAACCUACCCACAAGUGAGGUAGCUCAAUGACACGAGCAAUCCACUAAUGUUGCCUUUGGCUCUCCACCGAGGUAGGCACAAACCCCUCACAAUCACCGGGAGAUGGCCACGAACAAUCACCAACUCGUGCCAAAGCUCCUCCGCAGCUCCAAGCCGUCUAGGUGGCGGCAACCACCAAUAGUAACAAGCAAACCCACUGCUCAACGAUCACUAGUGCCACUAGAUGCUUAAACUCUAAGCAAAUGCAACUAGGAUCUCUCCCAAUCUCACUUUGGAUGAACAAAUCUUGAACAAGGUGAGUGGGAUGUGUGGGAGUAUGCUCACAAGGUGUAUCAACAAGUUAGAGAGUCAAGGGCGUGAGCAUGAACCAGCCAAGGCAAAUAUAUAGAAGCCCCAAGCAUCAAAUAGUUGUUGGCCACUUACCCCACUGUCUGCGUCUACACCAGACGCAUCCUAGUUCACAUCAGACGCGUCCAGUAUUGACCAGACCAGCGUCCGGUGCUCUUGACCGUUAGAAAAGUAUUCGUUGCCUCUAACACUGACAAGGCAUUAGACUCUCAAUUUUGAACGCACCGAACAGUCUAAAGAGGGACCGGACGAAAACUCAGGGAGCGUUGCAAAAUGUCACAACACCAGUCGCUGCACCGAACUCACACACCAGACCUAAACUCAGAGAGCUCUGCAAGAUGAGUUUGCACCGGAUGCUAACUUGGACGCGUCUGGUGUCACAUCGGAUGCGUCCGGUGUGCACCAGACGCAAACUCAGAGAGCUACUCGAGACAGCGUGUCCUCUGGAUGAGUUAGAUCAGACUCAACAUAGAGAGUCUGGUAAAAAAUUGAGCUCACACCGGACGCUCAACUCGGACACGUCCGACCUCAUACCGGACGCGUCCGGUGUGCACAGAAAACUUUUUUUUUCAACUAAACGCUCUACACUUUCUUCCCUUGCUUCUAUGUGCCAACACCAAAGUGUCUCAACACUUGUGCACGUGUAUUAGCAAAUUUCAAAAACAUUUUUCAAGGGUUAAUUAAUUCGUUCACUAGGUCCUAAUGCAUAUGCAAGGAAUCCAAUCACCUAGUGGCACUUAGAUAACCGUUUUCACAACGAGAUUACCCCUCUUAAUAGUACGACUAUCUAUCCUAAAUGUGAUCACACCCUCUAUGGUGUCUUGAUCACCAAAACCAAAACCCUAAGCAAUACCUUUGCCUUGAUCUUCAUAGGGUUUUGUUUUUCUCUUUCUUCUUUUCCAAAUUGAGCACUUGAUCAUCUUGUGGUCGUCACCAUUUUCACCAUGACCAUCUCUUGCUCCAUCACUUGGCAUGUACCAACCUCAUUAAGUCUACGCACACUUAGUAUAGAGGUUAGUACUAGGGUUUCAUUAAUUAUCUAAAACCAAACUAGAGCUUUCACUGUUACCUGCUGUUACAAGCAAAAAAUUGAUCGAAGGCACCUAGAGAAAGAAAAUUUCAUACAAGGGUACUGAGGAGCUUUUUCAAACUUCGAUGGUACACAAGUCAUUCUAAAUUUUUAUAAUGGCACACGGGUAAAAAGCUCAUAAAAUUAUUAUUAUAUCUUUGUUCAAUUGAGAUCCAAUCAAACAAGGACUCCCAUAUAAUUAAUUAACCUGCAGGUAGUUAGGAUAAUAUAUAUUUACUUUAGGAUCAUCAAAUAUUUGUUCUUAUGUCCAAGGUCUUUUGUGUUUGUCACACCAGGGAGUUCAGGUAACCAGUAGGCAGUAUACAACAUGGCCUUCCAGCUGAGUAAGUGUUGACGGUAGAUAAGUCCAUCAAUAUAGCAUAAGAAAGAACUAAAAUUAGAAUACUAUCUAGCUAUAGGGGUUAUUACUAAUAGAAUUCCACGAGUUUUGGUAAUUGUCUAUUUUUAUAGGGGGUUAUUAGAAUUAAGAUAAAAGGAGAUCCACAUGUCAAAUUUAUAUAGAGAGAAUACGUGAAAAGUCAAUUUAGAAAUACUCUAGAAGACACAGGAAGACACCACUUGAAGGAUGGGACCCACUUGCCAUAGGGCAGGGGCGAGCACCCUACCUUGUCAAGGGCGACCGCCAGGAGAGUUUAGCCAAUGAGAGUGAACCUCGCGGAUCCUGCCUCCACCGACUUUGAGGAUUAAUCUUGAACGCACGUUUAAGUCGGUUUGAUCUAAGGGUUGUGGUGCUUCCUAGGGGGCUAUAAAUACAAGCCUACCCCCAUAGAAACUGUAAUUCAGAGAAGAAGAGUUCAGAAUUCUCUAAAGAAGAAUUAGACAGAGAGGGGUCCCUCGAAUGGAUCUAUCUCUAUAGGGUUCUUAGCCACCAUCUCAAUUAGAUCUCUAUAGUUUUAUAAACAUAGCUACAUAGGAAUAAAUCUAGAAGGAGUCAAGUUAAUCUUAGAGUCCGGAUCUAUUUUCGUUCUUGGUAAACUCUUAUUCUUCUUUGUUAUAUUUAUAUUAGUUCUUGCAACUAUAAAUAUGACUUUGAUCUAUUUGAUUAUAUUAGAAUUGACUUUAUUCUAUUUGCUUAUGUUCUUAAUUAUAUUAUUAUUAGUCUACUUUAAUUAUAUGCUUAGCGUAGUUAGAUUAGAAUUAUAUUUAUGUAUAGGAUCGUAUAGCGCUUACUCAUUAGACCGAUGGGUAAGUGAUAGAUAAUGUGUAGGCGAGGUGCCUAGACCGUAUUUAUCUGCGAUUACCUCUUAUAGUCUGGAGCUUGAGGUAGAUCGCAGGAGCGACAGUCCUGUUGAGUCUUUUGUAUUCCUUCUUCCGAUUAUAAGGAUUAUAGAGCACCAUUAUUACAGGGAAGUGAUUGCCAUGUUCAUGAUCUUUCUUGCUAAUAUCAUUAUGCAUAGAUAUAAUCUUUUCUAGCAAUGAUGUUAUGUGUACUUGCACUAAUCAAUGUAUGCUUUGACAAUAUAAUUAGAAUACUUAGGAUUUAUUCUUAUAGAUUAUCCUAAUACCAUGCUAGUGUUAUAGACUGAGAGUAAUCUAAUUGAGAUGAUUAUUAUGUUUAUCAUAUGGCUAUAAAUUCUUAUUUAUCAUAUGUCACUUAUUAUUCAUGUUCAUAUAUUUAUCUUAUGUGACAUUUACCCUGCAUGAGAGAUAGAUAAAGACAUGGUUAACAUCUCCAUGACUAACAUGCAGUGCUCAUUACUCAUUAUCUAUUGCAAGUUCGUUCCCGGUGGUAAAAAUAUAAAUAGUGAUACAUGGAUGACUCCCGGUUAAAAUGCUAUAUCGGUAUUAUCUGUGCGCUUGGAGAUCUUUUAUUUAUUUCUAGAAAAUCAUGUACAUUUAAUACCAACACUUCUACAUCAUGCUGGGGACGACAACCUGGCUUAAGUGAUGUAAAGUAAUUUUAACGCCGUUGCUAGAGAUAGGUUUAAAAGGCUAUUUUUAGUAGUUGCGUUAAGAAGUGUCAACAGUAAGAGGAUGUUUGGUUAGAGGUACUAAAAUUUAAUAGGUACUAUAACACAUUUGUAAUUAUAACAAUUAGUGUUCAACUAUGGACUAAUUAGGCUUAAAAAUUGUUUUGCAAAUUAUUCUCUAACUAUGUUCUAUAUUUACUCCCUCCGUCCUGGUAUAUAAGGCGUAAUCACCUCUACUUCAAAGACCAAGAACACAUUUAAUUCUGUCUCACAAAGUCACAACACUAGUGGUACUGCAUUUAUAUUUGUGAGAGAGCAUGCCUUAUAUUAUGAGACAUGAGCAAAAAGUGGUUAUGUCUUGUAUACUAGGACGGGGGAGUAAUACUUUAUGUAUGUAUCUAAUUUUCAAUGUGAUAGAGAUUAAAGUUUAUAAGAGGAAAACCAAACAGAGCCUAAAAAUGCUUAGGGCCUGUUUGUUUGCCUCUGAUUUUUUUAAUACUCAUCACAACGAAUGUUUGGACACAUACAAAAAGUAUAUAUAUAUAUAUAUAUAUAUAUAUAUAUAUAUAUAUAUAUAUAUAUAUAUAUAUAUAUAUAUAUAUAUAUAUUCACUAUAUCUUGUUAUUUACUCCCCUCGUUAUAUUUUCGCUAUACCUCAUCCAAACAAUCUUCGCUAUAUCUUGUUAUUUACUUCCUUCAUUCUAAAAUACAUGACAUUUUUUAACCUAGUUACAAACACAAGCACAUUGUUACUUACUCCUUUCGUUCAAAAAUAGAUGAUGUUUUUUAUUGUGAUACCUAGUUACAGACGCAGACUCUCACAAACACGAGCGCACACUCACCCUUAUGAACGUACGCACGUACACCCUACCCAUAUGAGCACAUCUGAAGAACUGAGUUGGACCAGCAAAUCUCAAGAUUGACGAAGUCACCACAGGCGUCUCACUGUUGACGGGCACGUCGCCUACCACUAAAAGCAUAGCGCUGUUAAAUCUUGAAAUAAAUCCAGAAAAAUGCGAGCCCCCGUAUUAAGUCGAGGACUUAAGUCCGGGUGGACAGAUUUUACUACAAGAAACACAACCGCUUGAUCUAUGAUCAGUUUGCUAAAAUAGAUGAUGUUAAAAGACGUGUGCUUGUCAAACUUUUUUUUUUACUUUAGUUAAGUUUGUAGAAAAUACGUGUAACAUACAUAUAUAUAUCUCUAAAUAAAUUUAUUAUAAAAGUAUAUUUUAAUGAUACUAAUUAUGUAUUAUAUAUACUUCUUUCAUAACCAUAAAGAAAGUCGAUUUGGACAAAGUUUGAGUUAAAUAUUGAGAACAUAAAUCAUAAAUAACUUUAAAGUUGUUGAAUUUGGAAAUAUGAAAAUCAUAUAAAUAGAUUUAUCUUGAAAAAUAUUUUUAUAAAAAUAUACAUAUAUCACUUUUUGAUAAAUAUUUUUAUAAAAAUAAGGAGUCAAAGUUAGGCUUUAGAGAUCAUAUCGUUGUUCUAAAUUUUUAUGGGUAUAGAGAGAGUAUUAAUUUUAUUUAAUAUAUAAUUGAUCAAAGUUAAAAAAAGAUUUACUUUUCAUAAGACAGAGUCAAUUUUAGCUAAGCCGAGAUCAUUCUAACAUGGACACGUCACCUUUUUCACGACGUUUGACUUGCUCAAAAGUUCAGUAUCUGUGAUGUACGCAGCGGGCGCAGCAACUUCACUUGGGCCUUGUUUAGUUCCUGAAAAAUUUUACAAAAUUUUUCAGAUUCUCCGUCACAUCGAAUCUUUAGACGUAUGCAUGGAGUAUUAAAUAUAAAUGAAAAUUAAAACUAAUUGCACAGUUUGGUCGGAAUUGACGAGACGAAUCUUUUGAGUCUAGUUAGUCUAUAAUUGGAUAAUAUUUGUCAAAUACAAACGAAAAUGCUAUUAUUACUAUUUUGCAAAAAAUUUUGGAAGUAAACAAGGCUUUGAUCCUCCUUCCUUCCUCCCCCCAAUCCCCCAGCAGGCUCUUGUCAUUGCCGAUCGACGGCGCGAACCGCAGCGUCGUCUGCUCCUCGAUUGUCCCGCCGCCGCCCCAGCUCGCCGAACAGGCGAACACCGACACGGCGCGGCCUCCGUCUCCAGGGCCCGCCGAUCCUGCAGAGAGGUAACUGCUGCUUCAUGGCUCCGUGCACUUGUCUGGCUUUAGAGGAAGGUUUGUGCCUGGAAGACCCAGGAGACGAGCGUGCGUAGGAUAACCUGGGCCUUCCUCCUAAUCCAGUAAUCCUCCUCGCGCGGCAUUCUUCGCAUCCGAUUCCUUUUCCCGCUCCGGACGCAGGCACGCGCGCCGGCAUUCCCUGUGGAAGACGCUUCGGCGCCGCUUGUCGCAUUCACGGGCGCAUCUCCGUGCUGUCCCGAAGCAUGCUUUGGCUUUGCCCUGCGUCCCAAGCUGUCGUGUCGGCGGUGCCGCCACCUCGGUAGCCAGUUCGGUAGGUGAGGGGAGGGAAGGUAACCACCGCUUACCUUACGCGGGUUUCCUUCCACUUCCACUCCCCUGUUUUGACUUCUUGCCAUCCGCCGGGUAGCUGCUGCUGCUGCGCGGAACGGGAUUUCCGGGUCGGAUGAGAUGAGGAGGCGCUGCGGCUGGCUCUCAUCUCUGUUCCGCCCUCGCCGGGCCGGCCGCUCGCUCCCGCAACCAGAUCCGCAGGGUCCCGAUUCCGAGCCCAAGGUAUAGCAACGGCCGCUGCAUUUCUUUCUUGCUGUGGUUGUUUGUUUGUUUGAUUGUUUCGGUAGGCUUUGCAAUAUAUAGGAUUGUUUGGUGGUUUCAUUAGCAUAGCCAAUCAGCUGUUGAUUUGAUUUCCCACUGAACAAAGAUUAAUUCAAGGUGCGUAUGCUGCAUUUGGUUUGUACAUAUUUUGCCUUUGCUCGCUGUUUAUUUUAGGGAAACUACGGCAACCAUUGAGGGUAUGAGGUUACCUUUUUGCUUUUUUGGAGUAGAUCUCACUCUGCUGAUCUUGUCUCUAUCAAAUACUGGUGAAGCCUCCUAGAUCCAAAUGCAACCCAUCGGGUUUGGGAGAUUCUGAGACAUGUUGGGCACUCGAGUACAGUCGAUCAUGCAGAACUUUUGAGAAGAUCAUACAUAACUUUUUCAUAUUUUUAGCUGAAGCAUGUGUCAGGCUGUCAGCUAUUACUUCAAAUAUCACAAACUAUCCCCCCCCCCACCCGCGCAGAUACAGGCCUAUCUUCUCGUUUAAUGAUGGGUUGUUAAUUUCUUUGUUUUAUUGUUAAGAGUAUAAGGCACCUCUUUGAUGUUAGCACAAAAUCCAAGAUGAACUGAACCAGUGUCUGCAAACAACAGGCAUGCUUACCAUGUUGCAUCAUAAUUAUGUCCUUUCCCUUUUUACUGUAUUACCAUGUGAUAGAAAACCAUGAUUUUAAGCAAAUAUUUGUGCAGAGUAAACUGAACAAAGACCAUGUGCCUUGUUAGGAGAUAGUAUUCUCCAUUUUUCUGUUUUCUGCUAUAAGCUUUGAAACUUUUUGAGCAAAUGUGGUUUCCCGAGAUCAACUUUUCUAUAUAACUUAAUAUAUUCAUACAAAACUUUUUCAUAUGUGCUAGGCACGUUAACAUUUUGCUUCUUGUGCAAUGUUGAGCAGGCAGUAGAUAAGCGCAGUGCUUCUGACGAAGUUACCAUGGAGAACAUUGUGUCAAACAGUGAUUUUUCUGAGGGUCUACAUUUGUGGCAACCAAAUAGUUGCCAUGCAUUUAUAGCCGUUGAAGGAUCAGGUUACCAUUAUGGUGUAAGGCCACAUUCAGGGUCAACCUAUGCUGUUCUUACUCAUCGCACACAGAGUUGGCAGGGGCUUGAGCAGGACAUAACGGAAAAGGUUACCCUUGGUACCGAGUACUUUGUUGCUGCAUAUGUCAGAGUUCAUGGGGAAGUUCAUGAGCCCAUUGGAGUUCAGGUCACUCUCAAACUUGAGGAGGGGUCUUCUACCAACUAUCUUUCUAUCGCAAGGUAUUUCGACAAUAAGCCACCAUUCAGUGUGUUGUUAAUAUAUCAUCAGCACUGUUUUAUCAUUAAGCAGUUUUUAUUAGGAUUUUGGCCUCACAAGAACGCUGGGAAAAGAUAGAAGGUUCAUUUAAUCUAACAACUCUACCAAGACGUUUAGUGUUCUACCUUGAAGGUCCCCCUCCUGGUGUGGACUUGCUCAUAGAUUCAGUCACCAUCUCGUACAAGGUAUUGCAAUGGAUCUCUUGCUUGCUUGCUUGUGUGUCUACAAUUGCUUGAUGGCCCUGGAAAAGGAAGAAUUAUUGUCUGCUGAAACGAUUUCUGAGAACAUGUCAUUUGAUCAUCCAGAACAUGUGCAAGGACUAUUGUUAAAAUUGAAGACAGCUUACAUUUUAGUUUUUGUUAAACAUACCCCUGACUUAGAUACUAAUUUGGUCUACUAGAUUCUCUGCCUUAUAGUCUUAUUAACUAUGGAUUUUCUUCAGAAAACAGAGGGGUCAGCUUCAUCAAUUGGUGGAACAGAGAACAUCAUUUUAAAUUAUGAUUUUUCUAAAGGCCUUCAUCCUUGGAAUCCCAUCUGCUGCCAUGCAUAUGUGGCAUCACAAUGGUCUGGUUUCCUUGAUGGUAUUAGAGGGAACUCAGGAGAGAACUAUGCUGUUGUUUCAAAGAGAACAGAACACUGGCAGGGUCUUGAGCAAGAUAUUACGAAUCAAGUGUCUAUAGGCACUGCUUAUGUAGUUUCUGCUUUCGUUAGAGUUGAUGGGAAUGUCCAAGGCCAGGUUGAAGUCAAAGGAACCCUUAGGUUGCAAAAUGCAGACGGAUCAACACAUUAUAACCCUGUUGGAAGGUAUUGUACUUAAUAAUUUUUCAACGGUCAAAUUCUUUUGACACUAUCCUUGGUUGAUGAUCGAAUUGAUGUAACAGUGUGGUUGCCUCAAAAGAAAAGUGGAACAAAUUGGAAGGCUCGUUUUCUUUGACAAACAUGCCAAAAAAUGUUGUAUUUUACCUGGAAGGACCUCCUGCUGGUGUGGAUCUUGUCAUUGAUUCUGUCACGAUUACUUGCUCCAGACAUAAACAGUCAAAAGUGAGUUCUUAUGUGCCUUUUGUAAUAUUUUGUUGAAUGAAAUUCUUGAUUUACCUUUUUUCUAAUCAAUAUCAUGCUAUGCACUUUUAUAUUUUUUCAGAAGUCUAAUGAAAAAAAUAAUCAGAACUUAACCUAAUUUACGCCUGAUCUUUCAUGGAGUGAUGAAAAAUUCUUUGUAAUCUCUAUUUUCAUUUACUUCUAAUGAAAUCGGUAUGAGGAAUGCAGUGCACAGGAUUUUACUGUCAACUUUCUGUUGUAUUGAUCUCCAUGUGCUCCAUAUUUAAUUUUGUGCACAUAUAUACCCUUUGGUUCUGGGGUCUUCAUUCAUUGUCUUAUGUCAUAAAAAAAGUGCAUGAACUCUUACAGCCUCGGUUUUGCUGAUUAAUGAUUCCUUUUGAAUUGAAGGAAGUAAAAGUACCAAGUGGAGCCGAGACUAUAAUUAAAAAUCCUCACUUCGAUGAUGGGUUAAAAAAUUGGUCAGGAAGAGGAUGCAAUAUCUGCAGACAUGAGUUCACUGCAUAUGGGGAUGUCCGGCCUUUAAAUGGCAGCUAUUUCGCUUCUGCAACUGGACGGGUUCACAAUUGGAAUGGCAUCCAGCAAGAGAUCACAGGCAGGGUGCAGCGGAAAGUUCUUUAUGAGAUCAGUUCUGCUGUUCGAAUAUUUGGGAGUGCCAAUGAUACUGAAGUGCGUGCUACUCUGUGGGUACAAGAAUAUGGUCGUGAGCGAUAUGUGGGACUUGCCAAGUAAGUUGUUUUUGUUUCUUGUUCUCUGUUGACAAUGCUCUUUUUAGGAGCCAAUGACACUAUUAUCUUACUACUUUUUUUCUAUAAUCAAAGAAACCAGACUUCUGAUAAGCAAUGGACACAUUUGAAAGGAAAGUUCCUUCUUCAUGCUCCCUUUACCAAAGCUGUUAUUUUCAUAGAAGGGCCUCCUGCUGGAAUUGACAUUCUUGUAGAUGGUCUUGUCUUAUCUCCAGCAAGAAAGCUACAAGCUGCACCGUGCCCAAAAAUUCAGGUUUGUAGGCUAAUGGCUUCUUAAAGUCUGAGAUUAUUUGCUUGUGAAUGAUCUCGAGUUCCCGACUCUUGAGACUUGUGAAGCCUUUAUUUUUGUUAUAACUUUCAUCUAUCAUGAUAUUGUAGAAGUGUCCUCUCUAAUUCAAGAAUAUUUACUAAAUAUUGCAGAACGUUCAGUAUGGAACUAAUCUAUUGCACAAUAAUGCCUUCACUCGUGGGCUUGCUGGGUGGAGUCCUAUGGGUUCAUGUCGAUUGAGUAUCCAGACUGAAGCACACCAUAUGCUAUCUUCUAUUUUGAAGGACCGUGCAAGUCAGAAACAUAUAAGUGGUCGUUAUAUCCUUGCCACGAACCGCACAGAUGUUUGGAUGGGUCCCUCUCAGGUCAUAACUGAUAAACUAAGGUUGCAUGUCACUUACAGAGUAUCUGCUUGGGUACGAGUUGGGUCUGGAGGACAUGGACGUCACCAUGUAAAUGUCUGUCUUGCUGUGGAUAACAACCAAUGGGUCAAUGGUGGGCAGGUGGAAGCUGAUGGGGAUCAAUGGUAUGAAAUCAAAGGAGCAUUCAAGCUUGAAAAGCAGCCAUCCAAAGUUACUGCAUAUGUUCAAGGCCCUCCGCCAGGUGUUGAUCUCAGAGUCAUGGACUUUCAAAUAUAUCCAGUCGACAGAAAAGCGCGGUUUGAGUAUCUGAAGGACAAAACAGACAAGGUAAACUUCAAUGCACUUCACAUUUUAGAUGUGAAUUCUUCCAAUUCAUAUAUGGCCGUGCAUGAUCCAACCAUUAUUUCAACAGUGGUGAUUUUAUUUAUUUAUUUAUUUACUUAUUUUGGCUUUGUUCACAAGACCCUAUCUAACCAAAUAAUGGCUUAGCAACCCUUAGUCAAGUUUGUUGAUAUAGUCUAUCCUUGAAGGGGCGUGUGUGUGGGGGGGGGGGGGGAUUGGGGGGGUGGGUGGUUAUGAAACCUUUUGACCGUUACUUAAUGCUCAGUGUCACUAGGUAAGAAAUUUGGAAUUUAUGAAGGCUUAGAGAUGAAACUUAGUAUUAGGUACCGUAGCCAAAAAAACUGAGGUCUUGUGGAACUAAACCUCCAGUUUGCUAAAUUUAUACUAUAUGAACUUUCUCGAUUCUGCUGACAGGUGAGAAAGCGUGAUGUUGUUCUAAAGUUCCAAGGAUCAAAUGCAGUGAAUCUUUUAGGUUCAUCUGUGAGGAUACAACAGACCGAGAAUAGCUUUCCAUUUGGAUCAUGCAUCGCGAGACACAACAUUGAGAACGAGGAUCUUGCUGAGUUUUUUGUGAAGAACUUCAAUUGGGCUGUAUUCGAGAAUGAAUUGAAAUGGUACCAUACAGAAGCAGAACAAGGGCGGCUUAAUUAUAAAGAUUCUGAUGAGUUGCUUGAAUUUUGUGAGAAACAUAAGAUACAGGUUCGUGGCCACUGUUUAUUCUGGGAAGUGGAAGACGCUGUCCAACCUUGGGUCCGGUCAUUGCAAGGCCACCACUUAAUGGCUGCCAUUCAAAAUCGUUUGCAAAGCCUGUUGUCAAGGUACAGAGGUCGAUUUAGACAUCACGAUGUAAACAAUGAGAUGCUACAUGGGUCUUUCUAUGAAGAUAGACUGGGAAGGGACAUUAGAGCUUACAUGUUCAGAGAAGCACAUAAGCUUGAUCCUUCUGCUGUCCUGUUUGUUAAUGAUUACAACGUUGAAGAUGGAUGUGACACAAAAUCUACCCCUGAGAAAUUCGUUGAACAGGUCGUUGAUCUCCAAGAACGGGGUGCCCCAGUUGGUGGGAUCGGUGUGCAAGGUCAUAUCAGCCAUCCAGUGGGAGAAAUCAUAUGCGAUUCCCUGGACAAGCUCGCCAUACUAGGUCUCCCGAUCUGGAUUACUGAAUUGGAUGUCACAGCAGAGAAUGAACACAUACGAGCUGAUGAUCUAGAGGUGUUCCUCCGCGAAGCAUUUGCACAUCCUGCUGUAGGGGGAAUCAUCCUUUGGGGAUUCUGGGAGAUGUUUAUGUUUCGAGAGCACGCGCAUCUGGUGGAUGCUGAUGGGACAAUCAACGAGGCUGGCAGAAGGUACCUUGCUCUCAAACAAGAGUGGCUGACCCGUACCAACGGCAAUGUCGAUCGCCAAGGAGAGUUUAAGUUCAGAGGAUACCAUGGUUCGUACACCGUGGAAGUGGACACGCCUUCAGGCAAGGUAGCUAGAUCGUUUGUUGUUGAUAAGGAUAGCCCGGUUCAGGUGAUCACUCUGAAUGUUUAAUGUGUGGGAAAUCAUGCACGUGUCCUGUAUUGUAGCGAGGUACUGAGGUGUUGAACACCGCAGGCCUUCAGUGUGUAUAGAAAAUGAGUAUUAAAAUAUUUUCACUUUUAUUCUCCGUUCUAUUUUUUGUGUGUGACUAUAACGAGUUAUUUACAUGAACAUACGGGGCAGAAUCUGGACACAACCUUGCAAGAUCAUUAAGGCCUCGUUCGGUUAUCAUCGAUCCAGGUCCAGAAUCAAUCCUGGCCAGUCUUUUUUUUCAGGAUUUUGAAUAACGCUGGAACUAUUUCUGGCCAAACGGCGCCUAACUGGACAUUUGGACAUGCGAACUGAGCGAACGAUUGGAUUUAUAUCAUUUCAUCACUCCCACACCUUUUUAGCUGACAUGGCACUUCAGGAAAAGUGCAAUAAACCUAACAUCAAGAUUUUUUUUACAGUUUUAUAGGAAUUAAAAUUUGUAUGGUGUUUAUGAAAUGAAUGCUUCCAGUAGAGUUUCGCUCGGUUUCCCAUACGUGAGGAAGAAACAAAAUACUCCUGAUGGAGUUUUACUCAAUUUUCAUUGCGUUGGAUAUGACUCUUGUAAUGUUUCAUCUAGAUAAAAACUCAUGUUCUCUCUUCAUAAUAACUAGCCGGGAUCCCCGUGCAGUUGCACGGGUUAGGAUCCAUUAGAAAAUACUAACGGGUGUAUACUAUUUAUUGAAUCCAUUACAAACGGGUGUAUACUAUUUAUUGAAUCCGUUACAGUUGAACAUAACGGGUACAUACUAUUAAUUGGAUCCGUUACUAUUUAGCAUAACGGGUGUACUGUUCACAGGAAGAUAACGGGUACACUGUUCACUGGAUCCAAUCCGUUAGUGUUGUACUUAACGGGUGUACUGUUCAUAGAAUCCGUUACUGUUCUACUUAACGGGUGUACUGUUCAUAUAAUCCGUUACUGUUAAUGUACAGUAAAUUGUGAGAGAGGCAGUGGUAUACAAUUAUAAGGGUAAUUAUAAGGGUAAGGAGUAGAUUUCUAUGCCACACUAUCAUUUUUAGUAAUGUGUUAUCUCAUUAAAUAAGAAUGGAACUCUUGUUAGUCACUAGGACUAGCAUUAAUCCACAACUAAGCAAAAUGUUGAAGAAAAAAAUUUAUACCCGUUCCAAAUGAUAGUCCAUGUGACAUCCGGGUCUUUCAAUGGUGACAAAGACCAUUCCAAUGGCAAGAAAGGUAAACGACAACAGCAUACACAACUAACCGGCAAAUGUUGAUAAGAAAAAAAAAUUGUGCUUACUCUUAAUGCCAUGACCUGAUCUUGCCAAUAGAUCCACGUCACAUAGAUCAAUAUAAAUAAACCAUAAUAAGCAUACUUAAGACACUCCAAAACAAAAAAAAAAGAUAAUUUCUAUAUUUAUUAAUUAUAAAGUGUCAAUUAAGUAAAAACAUUAGGUGACUGUAAUUAUAGAAGAGAAAUAAGGAAGAUAAUAUAGUGAUGAGUAGUCGAUGGAAAACGAAGAUAUAUAAUUUCAUAAAAAAUAUUCUAUAGAAAUUAUUUAUUGGAAAAGUAGCUAUGUGUAGUGUCUAAUAAAUAAAUAAAUUAUGAGGUAUGGAAAGACAAUUAAUGCCUCUCCGACGAGCGCCUGAGAGGUUGGUCUGCGCUCUCGGUUCCGGCUUUCCGCCCAAACAGCCGUCGGCCCGUCGCGCGGCCGCCCUGCCGGAGGUCCGCCGAGCCCGGUGUUAAGAGGUACGUCAUACUACGCACGCUAUAACCCGAGCCGAUUGAUCGAGGCGCGCCAUCGCCCUGGAACUGCGAGCGAUUCGCGUCGUCUGUUUGCUAGGCUUCCUCCCCCUCUGAUACUACUAUCCGCGUCCUGUGUUUACUCCAUCCACUGUUGUCAGUAGUUGGUGUGGUAACGGGGAAUUCGAGGAUUGCAAAUCCUCUUGAAAAAUUAACCCAACGAGUAUUACACUAGCUCUUUUUUUCCCCACUCUUGUACCGGCCUGUCAUAAAUAAGAGCUUCUUUUAGAUAAAAUAAAUAGGUAAAAUAUUUUUGUGUGCAGAAGUUUCUCGGUUUCUCUUCGCAAGAGAAACCUUAUCCAUUUCCUUAUGUUUCCAGUACGUCUGGUUCAUUGUUCAUGGCGUGCAACUAACUGAUCAACUGAACUUUGUGAACUAUACCUGCAGACGAGUCCUCAAAUGCUGUGAUUGGUAACAUCUAAAAUUAGUGUAAGCUGCUGUAACAAUGGAAGAGGUUCAAAACUGUGUGAUGAAGCUGGUUAGUGCUUUGCAGAACUUCAUAUUUCUCCUGUGAAUUAUGGCUUGGUCGCUUCAAUCUGACUGCUACUACUUCCACUGGACAGCGGAGCAAUCCAACGCGGCACAGGGAUAAAGUGUAUGUCGGCUGUGGGGCUGGGUUUGGUGGUGACAGGCCAAUGGCAGCUCUUAAGUUGCUGCAGAGAGUCAAGGAGCUUAACUACCUAGUUCUCGAGUGUUUGGCAGAGCGAACUCUGGCAGAUCGGUACCGGAUUUUGGUGUCAGGAGGCAAAGGAUACGACCCUAGGGGUAUCUUCUUGACAAUUGUUGCUUCUAAUGUUCUUGAUUCAAUUCUUGACCAAUGGAGGUGACACCUGUUAUCUUCCUUAGUGCUUAUGUGACUAUUUUAAAUUACCAAAUUGCGCACCUUUUUAUGGCCAUAUGCAGUCAAAGAGUGGAUGUCUUUGCUUCUACCCUUGGCUUUUGAACGGAAAGUUUGCAUCAUAACUAACAUGGGGGCAAGUAAGAUAUUUCUGGCUGUGGUGCAACUUUAGUGUUGAUUCUUUUUUCACUUUUUUUUACCUGUUUCUUCCUGUUAUGUUAGUGGAUCCUCUUGGGGCACAGAAAGAAGUACUGAACCUGGCAUCUAUCUUGGGACUGGAGAUAACAGUCGCCGUAGCUUAUGAAUCAUCCUUUAAAACUCAAGGUAUUUUUCAUUUGUUUGAUAGUGCCAAGCAACAUGAAGCCCUAGGUGCUACAUCUGUAUGCUUCUUAAAAAUUUCCAAUCAUGAUUGGUUUGUCUGCAAUGUAGAAACUGAUAAUAAAGAUUGGAUGAUAUCUCAAAAAUGCAAUCAACUUUGAAUAUGUUCUAAUUGCUUUUCUUAAUUUUGCCUGUUUUUGUAGGAAGCCCUGUAUUGUCCGAUGAAUCAACAGGAGGAAGAGGGGUAAUUUACUGAUCACUUGAGAUCCUCUCAACAUUAAUUAUCAUUCAUGUGCUUGACUUCAGUUUAAUACAAUUAAAUGAUGAUUCUUAUGGCCCCUUGAUCAAAGAAACUAUUUCCAUUCUAUAUGUUCUUCUGAUUCUUUAUAAUGAAAAAAGCCUGUGGGAUCUCUAGUUUGAGUUUUAUUUGUUCUGCUGAAAGGUCCAAGUCAGAAAAUGUAAUGGUUAAUUUUGCUAUAGGCGGCUCUAGAAUAUAAUAAGAAAUUAAGAUUACUUCAAAUAGACAUGUUGUGGUCCAGGCUUCAUGUGUGGCUGAGGACAUCAGCCCAUGCGUGUAAAUGUAUUUGUGUAUCUGUGAUGAGGAGCAGAGAAUGGUCUUGAUUUGAAUCCAAAAACAUCCUAAAAAAAUAUGAAAGGUAAAUGUAAUCUGCAGAAUCCCAAUUUUUAUUUGCUUCACACAAAUGAAUUAUGCAUCUCAACCUGGUGAAUGAAUUGCACACAUUUUACUAGCUUACUGAUUAGCAACCAACCAGCCUAAAUCUGGUGUAGGGUACUCCAUGACAUGAAAGUACUAACAUCCCCCUUGAUACAAUUAUGUUUUACCAUAUUAUACCACCUGUUGCCUAAUGUCACUUCACAUGGAUACUAUAACUAUCCUUGUAGCCACGUUUGAGUUUAAGUACAAAAUGAGUGACCUUUAUCAUGUGUGGUAUCUGUUUUUCUUAGUGAGUCUUACCCUAUGAUACGGUGUGGUCUAUGAGGGGUGUGUAAGGGAGAAUGGAGAAGUGAUUGGAACUGAGGGUUGGAGCGAAGGGGAUAGCGAGGCAGCAGCACAGUGGAGAGUUCGCCGGUGGCAGCGGCUGAACCGCGUGCAGCCACCGUCGAAGAGAAACACCCACCACUCGGAAGUCUAUUCUUCUUCGAUGAUCCCUAUUACAUUCUCUAAGUGCCACUUAUAGAGUUGCAGCACUUCCUAACUACGCACCUCCUUGAUCCAUUGCAUGAGCAGGACCAAUUCCUAACCGCUCACCUCUCUGCAUAAUGUCUAAAAAUAACCCAGCAGCCUAGCUACUGGUUGGUGGACGCUUGGUCUGUGGACUCUUAGUACGGCGCCUAUAUUGGCAGCCUAACCUAAAAAGGAGUCCGCAACAUUUCCCCCCUCCCCAGCAAACAGCUCGUCCGUGAGCUGAAAUUCAGGAUAGCGCUUGUUGAACUUUGCAAUCGGCUCCCAAGUCACCUUGGAAGGAGUAGGCACCACGCGACCAUGCAAGAUGGACGGCAGCGGCUCGGUGGUCGCUGGUGGCUCCACUGUACUUCAGCAAGGCCACAUGGAACACGUUGUGGAUGCGGGCCUUGGGAGGAAGACGGAGCUUGUAUGCCAUGGCGCCAUCCUCUCUGUAAUCUAGUAAGGGCCAAAGUAGUGAGGCCCUAGCUUGGAGGAGGAAGCUGCUGUGAUGCCAAUAGCCGUACAUUGCUGUAGCCGGAGCCACACACAAUCUCCGAUGGCGAAGUCGACCUGGCGUCUCUUCUUGUUCUGGUGCUCUUUCAUGACAUCCUGGGCGAGCAGCAGACGCUCACGGAUUUCCUCCAGGAAGGCGUCACGAUCGCGGAGCUGCUGGUUGACUGCAGCGACCUUAGCUGUCCCCGGUGUGUAGGACAUCAAGGUCUGUGGGGGUUCGGCCGUAGACAACCUCGAAGGGAGUGGUGCGGAGCGCGGACUAAUGUGGAGUGUUGAAGCAAUAUUCAGCCCAUGGCAGCCACUGUAGCCAUGAACGCGGACGGUCAUCAGCGAGGCACCGCAGAUAUGUGACGGUGACGAUGAUGCUGUUGGUCACCACGGACUGGUCGUCCGUCUAUGGAUGAAAGGCAGAGCUCCGGAGCAGCUUGACCCCGGUCAGCUUGAAGAGUUCCUCCCAAAACUGGGAGGUGAAGACCAUCCCCGGUCACUCACAAUGGAGUACGGGAACCCAUGGAAGCGCACAAUGUCGUCGAAGAAGGCGCGAGGAACAGACUGCGCCGAAUAGGGGUGGCUGAGGGCGAUGAAAUGCGCCAUCUUGGAGAAUCGGUCAACGAUGGUGAGGAUGACUGACUUCCCGCCAACACGUGGAAACCCCUUGACGAAGUCCAUGGCAAUGUCGCUCCACACGUUAGCUGGGACUGGCAGCAGCUGGAGAAGGCCGACUGGGUGCAGGUGCUCUAUUUUGUUUCUCUGGCAGACAGAGCAAGCUGCAAAUGAAGUCCCGGACGAAGCGAUGGCUGUAGGUGUUGUAGAAGGUUGCUCGCAGUCGAUGCAAUGUCUUCUGUGCGCCCUCGUGCCCAGCCUCAUGGGCAUCCCGCAGGAGUUCAGGCCAAAGCGCCGAGUCAUCCGGCACGAAGAGGCGGCCCUGGAACAGCAGCAUGUCAUCUACCAAUGCCCAACCGGCCGGGGCGGUACUAGCUGUGAGCUGGGCACGGAUGGCCUGCGCCUGGCCAUCGGUCUGCAGCUCUGCCUGCAGGGCAUCAUACAUAGUGAAGAUGGAUGUAGAGAUGGCCCGAACUGCAGGGCUGUCCUCGUCACGGCAAGCAGCACGUCUGCCACCGUGUUCAGCUUCCCGGGGCGGUACUCAACGGUGAUGUCGUAGCCGAACAGCUUGGUCACCCACGUGUGUCGUGGAAUUGUCGUCAGGCGCUGGUCGAGGAUGAACUUGAGACUCCAAUGGUCUGUGCGGACUGUGAACACACGACCCCAGAGAUAGGGCCGCCAAUGACGAACCGCCUUGACCAGCCCGAUGAGCUUGCGCUCAUAGGCUGGGAGCUUGGCAUGGUGGGCUGGGACAGUGCUACUGAAGUAAGCCAUGGCACAUCACCUUGGUGGAGCACCGCACUGAACCUAGCCCCUGACGCGUCGCAGUCCACGAUGAAGCACUUGCUGAAGUCUGGAAGUUGUAGCAGGGGCGCGGAGAUUAGCGCCGUCUUGAGGGUGAGAAAGGCUGCCUUCGCUUCAGGCAUCCAAGAGAAGGCCUCCCGUUUGAGGAGGGCUGUUAAUGGCCCAUCCACACCGCUGUACCCACGAUGAACUUCCGAUAGUAACCGGUGAGGCUGAGGAACCCUCAAGGCACGAGCUAUGUGAGGCCGGGGCCAUGCCUCAACCGCCUCCACCUCCACCGGAUCCAUGGCGACACCCACGGCUGAGAUGAUGUGCCUGAGGUAUGCCACCAAUGGCUCGCCGAAGAAACAUUUGGAGCGCUUGCCGAAGAGGUGAUGCUGGCGCAUCUGCUGCAGCACGAUGCGCACAUGCUGCAAAUGCUCUGCCCAAGAUGAGCUAAAGAUCAAAAUAUCAUCAAAAAACACAAGCACAAAAUGGCGGAUAUAGGGCUUCAAGAUGUCGUUCAUGAGUGCUUUAAAGGUCGCUAGCGCGUUGGUGAGGCUGAAGGGCAUGACUAGGAACUAGAAAUGACUGGGGUGCGUGUGGAAUGCGGUCUUGGCGAUGUUGUCUGGGUGCAUGCGCACCUGGUGGUACCCGCUGCGGAGGUCGAUCUUGGUGAAGAAGCGGGCGCCCUUCAGCUCAUCGAGGAGGUUGUCAAGCACCGAGAUCGGGAAUUUGUCCUUGACGGUGGCGUUGUUGAGGGCACUAUAGUCGACACAGAAGCGCUAGCUUUCGUUGUGCUUGUGGACCAGGAGCACCGGGGAGGAAAAUGGUGAGGUCGACUUCCUGAUAAUCCCACGUCUUCGCAUUGUCGCUCGAUCUCAUCCUUGUGGAGCCACGGAUACCGGUAUGGACGUAUCGCCGCUGGUGCAGAGCCUGGCAGAAGAUGAAUCCGAUGAUCGAUCUUGGUAGCAUGCCGGUGGCAGGCCGCGUGGCUCCUCGAAGAUGUUCUGAUAGGACUGCAACAGCUCUAGGAUAGGCAGGGGUCAGCGACGGCACGAGCUGCCACCCUGUUGCUGCCCAGACCAGUCUAGUGAUGGGACCGGCCAUUGUACCAAAAGGACAUCGCCAGGGCGCCUAAGUCCCAAACGAUAGACCCCAAUGUCCGCAGCCACUGGACGCCAAGGACAAGGUCAAACCCGACCAAGUCUAGGGCAAAGCAGUCAAUGGAGAAGGCCUCAUCGCCAAUGGUGACACCGGUAGCAAGGCAGACUCUCGGGAUAUGCACCCGGUUGGCAUUGGCCACCAUCGUGUUCAGGGCCAUCACGUAGAGUGACGGUGAGGCCCAAGCGUUGUGCGAGCGCUGAAUGGAUGAACGUGUGAGUGGAUCCGGUGUCCACCAGCGCCCGCAGUUGUUCCCCGCCCACGGUAAACCGGUAGCAUCAUAGAAUCACCGUGGCCGAGGCCAGUUAGCGUCUGGAGGGAAAUCUCCAAGUCCGUGAUCUCGUUGAGGGUUCAUCCUCGCCGUCUGGCAAUUCCAAAGGAAGACGCCCUUGGCAGCGCACUUGUAAUCCUUGUUGUACGGCUCUGGGCAAAAGUAGCACUGGCCGCUCUGGCGUUUCUCAUGCAUCUCCACCGGCCGCGUACCCUCUGCCUUGCCCUCAUGCACCAUGGCGCCGGAGGCAGUAGUAGUGGCCGACGUAGUUGCACGACAGCCAGACCCUUUUGGCGCUACCAAAUUGUUGACAGUAGGGGCCUUAGCUUGGUGUUGCUCAAAUGCCCGCGCGAGGCUCAUAACCUUCUGAAGAUCGGCAGGGUGCUGCAUCUCGACGUCGUGGGCCAGCGGCUGGCCCAAGCCGCCGUUGUACAGAUCGAUCACUGUCCGCGGGGCGAGGUUGUCGCAAUGCGUGAGCAGGCCAAGGAAGCCCCGUGAGUAGUCCUCCACAGUGCCCGUACGGACCAAGGCCUUGAUCUCCGCAAUUGAGUUGGUGCGGAUCGGCAGCCCGAAGCGGAGGUUGACGAACUCGACAAAACGUGGCCACAGAACCUUGCCGAAGUCGCGUUCUAUCUAGUAGUAGCAUUCCUCCACGGUGCCGUCGAGGUACAGAGAAGCCAUCGGCAGCUUCUCAUCCUCUCGAACACGAUGAUUGCGGAAGAAAUUUUCACAUUUGUUCAGCCAGGUCAGGGAUAUGCCUCACCAUUAAAGGUCGAGAAGGGAAUUUUGGGUGGCCUGCGCGGCUCGCGGUGUGGGUUGAGGAAGCGGCGGCCGCCGCUAUCGUAGCCAUGGUCAUGGUCGCGGCCAGCACGCCCGUAGUCGUGGCUUCCCCGGUCAAAGUCAUGGUCAGCGUAGUCGUCGUAGUCACGGCUGCUGCGGUCAAAGCUGCGCCAGCCGCGAUCGAAACCACGCCAGCUGCGGUCGUGGUAGGUGCGCCAGCCGCGGUCAUCGUAGGUGCGCCCACCACGGUCCUCGUAGCCGCGCCCGCUGCGGUCGUCGUAGCUGCGUCCGCCGCGGUUGUAGAAGUCGCGAUCAAACACGUGGCGGUCAGAUGCGCCGGUCGAGGUCGUGAUCGCAGCGCUUCCGCUCGCGAAGUGCGCGAUCGCAGAACGAAGCCCAGGUGCGGUCGCGCUCGGGGUCUUGCACGUCGUCAUCCGUGUCGUCACGAUAGGCGUCGGCAUUGCCACCGUGGUCCUCGGCCCCGCUGGCGCCCUUGCUGGCAUCAUGCUUGCUGGACUCAAUGCGUGCCAUCCGCUGGUCGUGGGAGCUGAGGCGGUUGGUGAUGGUGGUAAGCUGGGCGAACAUGUGAUUGAAUUUUGCAUCCAGCCACGCCUCCAGGGCCACAGGAUCGAAGGGAGUGCCGGACAUGGUAGUCGAUGCACUCGGAAUGGGCUCUGAUACCAAAUUGAUACGGCGUGGUGUAUGAGGGGUGUGGAAGGGAGAAUGGAGAAGUGAUUGGAACUGAGGGUUGGAGUGAAGGGGAUAGCAAGGCAGCGGCGCAAUGGAGAGUUCGCCGGCGGCAGCGGCUGAACCGCACGCAGCCACCGUCGAAGAGGAACCCCCACCACUCCGGGAGGUCUAUUCUUCUUCGAUGCUCCUUAUUACAUUCUCUAAGUGCCACUUAUAGAGUUGCAGCACUUCCUAACUACGCACCUCCUUGAUCCAUUGCAUAAGCAGGACCAUUUCCCAACCACUCACCUCUCUGCAUGAUGUCUAAAAAUAACCUAGCAGCCUAGUGGUUGGUGGACGCUUGGUCUGUGGACGCUUAGUCCGGCACCUAUAUUGGCGGCCUAAAAAGGAGUCCACAACACCCUAUGCCUAGGUAGUAGGUAUAUGUCUUUUAAUUGUACAAUACAUUCUGCACACAAAUAACAUUGAUGUGAGGUUUCCCAUACAUAGUCAGUGUAGGAUGCCAUCAAAUAAAAAAAACUAUCAUUAGAAGUAAGUAACAAUUACAUGUAGUGGAUACGUUUAAGCAAUUCUACCUCAAUUAUGCAUAUCUUGGAUCUUUUGAUUAAUACUUAUUUUUUGCUUUAUCUUGAUGCCAGGGAUUUUAUAAUCUGUCAUGUUUUAUCUUACUGUUUUUUUUUAAUGUAAAGGGAAGUAGCACAUAUCUUGGGGCAGCUUCAAUUGUACAUUGCUUGGAAAACUAUAAACCACAUGUUGUAAUUACUUCACGGGUUGCUGAUGCUUCGCUCUUCUUAGCACCUAUGGUAUAGUAUUCAAGUUUAAUCUAUCACUCUCAUUUUUGCUAUUGAUGUAAUGCCCUUUUUUUUUAUCGAAAACGCAGGAGAGCUGCGCUUCAUUAGUAAUGCCCUUUUUCGUUUAAUACUAUUUAUGCAAGGUGAACAUGAUGAAUUUGUGUGAUCAAAUAUUAAGCUACCUUUGCCUUUCCUUUCUUGGUUUGUGUAUCGUUAUUUUUUUUCUUCCUAAUCUGAGCACUGUACUGUUUAAGGAUCAUAUGCAUAUGUAUUGAAAAAUCUUGAUGAGAUGAUAUAGCUCAAAUGUCUGUGUUAUAUGCCUGAAUAGGAGUUGUGUGACUAGGCAAUUUUCGAGCCACAGAUAUUAGCAGGACCAAUUUGCUCUCUCUUUCUGAUUCUUUGGAAAACAACCAGUUUUUUAGGGCACUUUGCAAAACAAUCACUUGAUUUAUAAGAAUAACCAGCUCAAGUUAUACCAUGUUUGGUUGUCCAAAUGUGAGUUUGGGUCAGAACAUGUACUCAAAUUUGUACUAAUUGUAUUAUUCUGCAUGUGCGAUAUUAUUUUUGUUUCUAUAGAUUGCACCAUAUAAUGAAGUCAAUCCAGUCUGAGCACAGAUUUUUUCAUGUGACAGUGAUUUAUCUCUUUUACUUCCCUUUUCAACACUACAUACAAGAAUAACAGCUCAAGUUAUACGUUUGAUUGUCAGAACAUGAGUUUGGCUUGGACCAAGUACAUUCUUUUCUACUAAUCAUAUUGUUCACCGCUUUGGACUAUUUUUAUUGGACACAAAAGUGAAGUUAAUCCAGAACAUCUGAACACAAAUGUUUUCAUGCGAGAGUUAAUGAUUUAUCUCUUUUACCUCCCUUUUCAACACUAGAUCUAUGAAUUAGGUUGGAACUGGAAUGACAUGCAGUUGGCACAAGGAACAUUAGCAUGCCAUCUUCUAGAGUGUGGCUGCCAACUCACUGGAGGAUAUUUCAUGCACCCUGGUACACUUUUCUUUCCUUCCAAAAUAAUUAGGCCUUCUCUUUUAACCGUAGCCAUGAUUUGUGUUCAUUGUAUGGUCUGUUUGUGAUGUCAUAAAAAGCAGGAGAUGCACACAGGGAUUUUCCUUUUGAACAACUUCUGGAUUUGUCUCUCCCAUUUGCUGAAGUUAGUUACAGAGGAGAAGUCAUUGUCAGUAAGGCAGAUGGCAGUGGAGGCCUUUUGAGUCCCCAUACAUGUGCUGAACAGCUUCUUUAUGAAGUUGGAGAUCCUGCAAACUACAUAACUCCUGAUAUGGUGAAGUCAAAAACCAAUUACAGUUACAAUCAUAGCUAGCUUCUUAUCGAAAUAUUGAUUAUAUUUUGCUGGAGCAGGUUGUGGAUUUCUGUAAUGUACAGUUCCACCAAAUAUCAAAAGACAAGGUCCGCUGUGAUGGAGCAAAACCAUCUAAUGCUUGUUGCCCUGAGAAACUCCUGCAGUUAUCUCCUACUGUAUGUAUUCCUUGAUAAUUAAUUGGUACAAACUUUAAGUUUAUCUUUUAGUUCUUCCUACAUAGAACUUGAUUGUGAUCUAUGACCACAAAGACUUGCAUAAUGAGCAGCAUAGUUUUAAUCAGGGAUAUAAAUUCUCCCUUUUCAAAAUACCAUGCCCAGUAAGCAGCUGAAAACUGACUGGUAUAUGUUGUUUCCUAAUUGAACAUAUAGGUCUUCUGAAAAUUUUUUCUUUAAAAUGUCUGUCCUUUCAGUAUUAUAAGACUUGCCAAUGCAUUUUGUUGAACUUACUAUUUAGAUAAACCAAAACCAGGAUGUUACAGUAACUUGUGGACCUUGAGAGCGAACAGCUCUCGGUAAUUCUUUGAUUAUGGAGUGAGAGGACGUGUUACAUAUAGAGGUGAGGAGAUCGUGAGGCUUAUGGGAACAGUGCCAGUCAAGAUCUCUAAACACUCUGAGCCAACCACAGCUGGUCAAGCACUCCUACAGUUAAGGCACAACAUAACCAGUCAAGGGAUUCCUCUAAUCACUCUGAACCAAGGGAGGGACACGCCUAUUCUAACACUCCCCCACUUUGCACGUUUAGACUGGACUUGAACUCCAUGAAUACUGAAGAAGGCAGCCCUUUGGUGAAGAUAUCUACGUAAUGUGAAGAGGUGGGAACAUGCAGAACACGAAGAUCACCAAUGUCGACUCGCUCCCGGAUGAAGUGGAGAUCGAUCUCAAUGUGCUUGGUUCACUGAUGCUGAAUCGGGUUGGAGGUCAUGUAGACGGCAAUGAUGUUGUUGCAAUACACCAGUGUGGCGCGCCGGAGAGGGGCAUGCAGCUCUAGAAGAAGCUGGCGCAGCCAGGUGGCCUCAGCAACUCCAUUUGCCACCGCGCAAUACUCGGCUUCGGCACUGGAUCUUGACACCAUGUUCUGACGCUUGGAGGACCAGGAGAUGGGAUUGUCACCGAGAAACACGGCAUAGGCUGAGGUGGACUUGCGUGUGUCGGAACAACCUUCCCAAUCGGCGUCAGUGUAGGUAGACGGCCGCAGCAGGAGACCAAGAUGGAGGGUGUUAGAGAGCGAGCAGGCAGCAGCGUGCACGGAUCAGGGAGCAUGCAGAGGCUGAGCAGGGAAGAGAACAUGCAGCCGCACGCAUGGAUCAGGAAUGGAUCAGGGAAGAAGUGCGUGCAAUGCUGAGAGGUGACUAGGAUGAAGGAGAGCCAACCAAGGGCAUUAGCUAUAUUUAGGAGUGAUUAACCGGGACCCUGGCAAGGCAAGCAACAGAUUAGAAGGAAAUUCCUUCCUCUUGACCGGCCGUGGGCAGAGCCCCGCGGCUGGAUUCCCCUCAACCACGCAGCCCCAACCACGUCCAGAACAAUCUGGUAAUCGGAGCUCAGGCCUUGAUCCGCCCCCCGCCACCCCUGCUGCGCUGGCCAUGUUCCUCACCACUGCAGCCAUGGCUGGUCCUGGUUCACUCGCCGCACCGCCAGUGUUCACCACAACCAUGGCCACCGUGGUGCCACUACCUGCACAUCAGCCUGUGCCUUCCCCGGAUGCCUUCAACGCGUUGAGGGCGGCCAUCUACGGCCUGCAAUGCCAGAUGGGGGAGUUGUUGGCGCGCCUGGCGGCCGUCACGAGUCGAACAUCGCCCUCUGCACCACCGCCUAUACCGUAUGGCCUGCUAGGGUUCGGGGGCAUCUCGGCCCUUCCGACGUCGGUUCCGAUAAUUUCGGAGGUCUUCUCUACGCGGCAAGUCCUGCCUGCGAGUUCAACGCCUGGCCCUUUCCCACAGCCAGUCAGCUGGGCGCCGCCGCAACCGGCCAGCGGGCUCCUGACUGCCAAGGAGAGCAGCAGUCCGGCGCCGCUUUCCUCCUCUCCUUCACCGAUCCCAUCAUUCACAGCCCCCAACCUUGUGCCGCCACAGCAACACUGCGAUGGCGUCUUCUAUGGGGGCGUAGAUGGCAUCCAAGCAACGACGUCGGAGCUGCAAGCGGCGGUGCGCUGCCUUCUGGCGUGCCAACAGGGUCAGCGCCCCAUCUUCAAGCAGCGACGCCCAAUCGUCUCUGCAGCGACAAUCUUGCAGUAGCUCGCGGAGAGGAAGGUGAUUGCACGGGCGAGUGCCUGCAAGGUGUCUGCGGCGGUAGGCUGCGGCGCGGCCUCCUAUUGCGCCGGUGGCUGCAGGAGAUGUGCUAGCCUAUGCACGAGGCGACCUUAGCGACGGUCGACCUCAUCACAGGAUGGCCACCAACAAGCGCGCCGACCCAUUGCUAUCUUUCGGCACGAGUAUGGUGUUUUUCCCGUGGGCAGCGACCUCCAACUCUGUGGCAGCGGUGGUAGUGGAGCCGCUCCCCUCCUUGUCAUCAGCGGGGACGCACUGCUUAGCGCCUAUUAGGAUAUGUAUAUAUCAGGAUCAAUUAGAGAUUGAUUGGCAAUCCCCUAGAUAGGCUAGCUGCCAUGUAUAGCCUAGGAUUGUUUCUAUUUAUAGCCUAGGAUUGUUUCCUUGUACAGGGAAUAGCUUCCUAUGUAUGUAACUUCCAUGCAUGCCCAUUGGCUAUAUAUAUGAAAGGCUCCCCACCCACAAUGGGUGUGUGGUGAUUCCCUCCAUUCUAUUCCCUUCUACAUGGUAUCAAGCUAUUUUUAGGUCCUCUCCCUCCCUCCCAUCGCACCAGCCCUCCCUGCUGCGCUGCCCCCCCUCCUAGGUCGCCAUGACCGAUUCUGCCUCCAGCUCCACCACGUCCUCCAGCUCCUCGAGCAGCAUGAACACCCUCUCUGCUCCUGCUGUGUUCGUCGCCCCCUAUGCGACGAUCAACGUCAAAAACCACAUCCCGAUGACCCUUGAACUGAUGAAGCCCAACUUCAAUCAGUGGGAACCGUUCUUCACCUCUCUUUGCGGGAAAUUCGGUCUCCUUCCACACGUCGACGGCACGGAGGCGGCCAGACCUGUCGAUCCUGCUUGGGCCAUUGCUGACGCCUGCGUCCGCAGCUGGCUGCUCGGUUCUGUCGGGCCAGACGUCAUCGGCCUGGCUGUGGUGCCGAACCAGACUGCGCGCGAGCUCUGGGUCGCCAUCAAGCGCCUCUUCGAGGCCAACAAGGCUCCGCGUGCCAUCUUCUUGGGUCACGAGUUUCACUCCAUGACGCAGGGCGAUUCCUCCAUCAACGACUACGCGCAGCGGAUGAAGGCCACCGCCGACGCGCUCCGCGAUGUCGGGCGCACCAUCACCGACUCAGAGCUCGUCCUCAACUUCCUCCGCGGCCUCAACCCCUGCUUUGCCAGCACCGCCGACAACAUCGCUGACUCGCACCCGCUGCCGGACUUCGCCACCACUCGCGAGAAGCUCGUGCUGAAGGAGCUCCGCCUCUCCAACGAGGGCACCGUUGCGGCCCAGACAGCAUUUCACGCUGCGUGCGGUACCGGCUGCCGCACCAGCACCACCGGCGGCGGCCCCAUCGCCGGUCAUCAGGGCGGCUACGGCGGCAGUUCCAGCAACGGUGGCGGUCAGGGCAGCAGCAAUGGUCGCUGGAAGAAGGGCAAGGGCAGCGGCGGCUCCAGCAGCGGUGGCGGGCACAGGGCGCCUGCACCGGCGGCCCCUUGGUACUGCUACCCUCCCUAGACCGCCGGGGUGCACCAGCAGCCCUGGCGCCCGCAGCCGCCGGCGACAAACCAGGCCUGGCGCGGCCCUAGGAUCCUCGGCACCUUCCCUCAGGCCCAGGCGCACACUGCGUUCGCCCCUGCCCAGUUCUCCGACACCUCCGCACCAUCCCCGCAGCAGCAUGGUGGCUGGGAUCAGGCCGGCCUCGUCGCUGCCCUGAACCAGAUGUCCCUCCAGGGGCCUUGUCCCUGGGUCCUCGACACCGGCGCGACAACUCACAUGUCAUCGUCGGAUGGUAUACUCCUCUCCAGUCUCCCCCCUCCUCCCUCCGGUAUAACAGUUGGCAAUGGCACCACCAUCCCUGUCACCUGCAGUGGCACAUCCACACUCUCUUCCCCAAACUCUAUUUUCCACCUUAACAAUGUUCUGGUUGCCCCUGCUCUGGUGCGCAACCUCCUUUCUGUUCGUCAAUUCACCUGUGACAAUGCUUGUUCCAUUGAAUUUGACGCUUGUGGCUUUUCUGUCAAGGACCAACAGACGGGGCGCGUGACUCUUCGCUGCAAUAGUGGUGGCGACCUCUACGCCUACCCCUCCACAUCAGCUCACUCCUGCAGCCUCGCCACCACGUCGUCCCUGUGGCACCACCGCCUUGGCCACCUCGGUCCAUCCAGCCUCGCCACUCUACGGAGCAUGUCGGUCAUUUCCUACAAUAAGAGCUCGUCUUGCCUUUGCCAUGCCUGUCAACUUGGCAAACAUGUGCGACUUCCAUUUAGUCACUCCAUUUCUAUAACCACUGCUCCCUUUGAUUUACUUCACUGUGAUGUGUGGACAUCCCCUGUGCUUAGCAACUCUGGUUUUAAAUAUUAUCUUGUCCUCCUAGAUGAUUUUUCUCAUUACUGUUGGUCCUUUCCGCUUCGCCACAAAUCUGAGGUGCACCGCCACAUUGUUGAGUUUAUAGCAUACGCUCAGACACAGUUUGGCAGCACACCAAAAUCCUUUCAGGCAGAUAAUGGAACCGAGUUUGUUAACCACGCCACCACCUCUUUCCUCACUGCCCGUGGGAUCACCGUACGGCUUUCCUGCCCUUAUACCUCACCACGAAACGGCAAGGCUGAACGCAAGCUCCGCACUACCAACACCACCAUCCGCACCAUGCUCCUCCACGCAUCCAUGCCACCUCCCUACUGGGCUGAGGCCCUCUCAACAGCCACCUUCCUCCUAAACAAGCGCCCAUCCUCCUCCAUCCGCAACCAAAUACCUCACCAAAUCCUUCAUGGCACCCUCCCAGAUUACUCCUCCCUUCGCGUCUUCGGGUGUCUCUGCUAUCCAAACCUUACUGCCACAACCCCCCACAAACUCGCACCUCGGUCCACACCUUGUGUCUUCCUCGGAUACCCAUCCUCCCACAAGGGCUACCGCUGUCUUGACAUGGCCACUCGCCGCAUUAUCAUCUUCCGUCAUGUCGUUUUCGACGAGUCUGUGUUUCCAUUCUCGGCAACAUCAUCGGCGGCUUCCAUGCCGUUGUCACUUGACUUUCUGAUGCAGGGACUCUCCUCCUUGACAACACCAGCGAGCACUUCUCCAUCGCUCACUGACAGCAGCGAGGAUGUGCUCCCGACGCUCCUGGACCCGGCCAUACUACAGCUCGGCCCCCUGGCCACCCCUGCGGGCGGGCACACUCCAGCUGCCCCUCCUGCGGAUGGGCCACAGCCGGGCGGCCAGGGGCGGCCGACUGCUCAUCCAGCGGGCGGGCACGGGCAGCCGGUGGCUCACCGUGCGGGCGGGCCUCCGCCGGCUGCUCCUACGGGCGGGCCACAGCUGGGCAGCCACCGUUUCGGCAUCGUCUUCAGCCGCCGAGCCCGUCCUCUGACCACCAAGGCUGCAGCUUCGGCUGCCUCCGUGGCCCCUGCUGCAGAACCAGCGGCACCACCAGCACCGCCACCUGCUCCAGCGACCCAGCCUGCUGCAGAACCAGCGGCACCACCAGCAGCGCCACCUGCUCCAGCGACCCGGCCUGUGACGCGCUCACAGACCGGCUCCCUUCGCCAAGUCCAGCGAUUCGGCUUCACCGCCUCCGUCACCUCGCCCACCCCCACAAACUAUCGCAGCGCCCUCGCCGAUCCUAAUUGGUGCGCUGCGAUGGCAGAGGAGUACAAGGCGCUGAUCGACAACGACACUUGGCGCCUUGUACCUCGGCCACCUGGUGCGAACAUCGUCACUGGCAAGUGGUUGUUCAAACACAAGCUCAACUCCGACGGCUCCCUUGCCCGGCACAAGGCGCGGUGGGUUGUUCGCGGUUUCUCUCAGGAGGCCGGCGUCGACUACGACGAGACGUUCAGCCCGGUCGUCAAACUGGCCACGAUCCGCACCGUCCUCAGCAUUGCUAUGUCUCGAGACUGGCCCAUACGCUAGCUCGAUGUGAAGAAUGUCUUCCUCCAUGGCAACCUCGAGGAGACGGUCUACUGCGAGCAACCGAAAGGCUUCAUCGACCCCGCUGCACCUAACUCUGUUUGCUUGCUGCAGAAGUCCUUAUAUGGGCUUAAGCAGGCACCACGAGCUUGGAACCAGCGCUUCUCCAACUUCAUUUGCAGCAUCGGCUUCACCCCAUCCAAAUCGGAUGCCUCCCUGUUCGUCUACAAGGCUGGCAACGACAUGGCCUAUCUCCUUCUCUACGUCGAUGACAUCAUCGUCACCGCGUCGUCACCGGCUCUUCUCCAGCACGUCAUCUCCAGCCUCUCCUCGGAGUUCGCCAUGACAGACCUUGGUGACCUCCACCACUUCCUCGGCAUCUCGGUGACACAGGACAACAGUGGAUUGUUCCUUUCUUAGCGACAGUAUGCCGUUGACCUCCUCCAGCGUGCUGGCAUGUCUGAAUGCCACCCGACAGCUACUCCGGUGGAAGCUCGGAACAAGCUGUCCGCCUUCGAGGGCGCUCCAGUCACCAACCCCUCGGAGUACAGGAGCCUCGCUGGUGCCCUCCAGUACCUCACCCUGACGAGGCCGGACCUGGCCUUUGCUGUCCAGCAGGUCUGCCUCUUCAUGCAUGACCCUCGCGAACCGCACCUUGCGCUAAUCAAGCGCAUCCUGCGCUACGUCAAGGGUUCUCUGUCCGCAGGUCUGCAUUUGGGCUCCGGUGUUGUCGAUAAGCUCACAGCCUACUCCGACGCCGACUGGGCUGGCUGCCCAGACACACGCCGCUCCACCUCCGGCUUCUGCGUCUACCUCGGCGACAACCUGGUGUCUUGGUCUUCCAAGCGUCAGACGACCGUGACUCGCUCUAGUGCCGAAGCGGAGUACCGUGCAGUAGCCCAUGUUGUUGUUGAGUGUUGCUGGCUUCAUCAGCUACUGCAGGAGCUCCACAUCUCCAUCUCCAUCUCGCUUGCGACGGUUGUCUACUGUGACAAUGUGAGCACUGUCUACAUGACUGCCAACCCUGUACACCACCACCGCACGAAGCACAUCGAGAUUGACAUCCACUUCGUCCGCGAGAAGGUAGCUCUGGGACAGUUCCGUGUUCUCCAUGUCGCAUCUGCGUACCAGUUCGCCGACAUCAUGACUAAGGGUCUGCCCGUCCAACUCUUCACUGAUUUUCGGACCAGUCUAUGCGUUCGUGAUGCUUCCGCUACGACUGUGGGCGGGUAUUAGGAUAUGUAUAUAUCAGGAUCAAUUAGAGAUUGAUUGGCAAUCCCCUAGAUAGGCUAGUUGCCAUGUAUAGCCUAGGAUUGUUUCUAUUUAUAGCCUAGGAUUGUUUCCUUGUACAGGGAAUAGCUUCCCAUGUAUGUAACUUCCAUGCAUACUUAUUGGCUAUAUAUAUGAAAGGCUCCCCACCCACAAUGGGUGUGUGGUGAUUCCCUCCAUUCUAUUCCCAUCUACAGCGCCACCCUCAUUCCGCCACCGGCCACCGCGAGGACGUCUCCGCUGGUCGUUAUCGCGACUAAUUCUAGGUGGCUAUACCUGUGCACCCCAAUCGUUCCAGUGGGCUCCAUGGGAUCCAGGUGGCUGCACACGUGCAGGUCCAUCACGCGGAGGGUGUCUGUCAUAUCUUCAGCAUUCAAAAAUAAAGAGUCAGUUUAUUUCAGGUCAAUAAAUAAGCCUAGAUGUCAAAGGCUUGUUCUUAGGUGUUUGGUUUGUGUCGAGUUCUCAUCCUUAUAAAUUGGUCAGGUUGCAGCUCAAGGACGAGCUGCAUGUCCAGGUGGGGUGUAGUGUUAGAGAGAGCAGGCAACGGCGAGCAGGCAACGGCGUGCACAGAUCAGGGAGCAUGCAGAGGCUGGGCAGGGAAGAGAGCAUGCAGCCGCACGCAUGGAUCAGGAAUGGGUCAGGGAAGGAGUGCGUGCAAUGCCGAGAGGUGUCUAGGAUGAAGGAGAGCCAACCAAAGGCAUUAGCUAUAUUUAGGAGUGAUUUGGGCCUAUUUAUAUUUUUAACCGGGAUCAUGGCAAGGCAAGCAAGAGAUUAGAAGGAAAUCCCUUCCUCUUGCUCGGCCGUGGGCAGAGCCCCAUGGCCGGAUUCCCCUCAACCAUGCAUCCCAACCACGGCCAUAACAGAGGGUGCCUUGAACAUAGCAAAGAAUUCGCUUCAAGGCAGCAAGGUGAGGCUCACGGGGGUCAUGCAUAUGAAGGCAGACCUGCUGCACGGCAUACGCAAUGUUGGGCCGGGUGAACAAGUACUGUAGUGCUCUAGCAAGAGUGCGGAAGUCUAGUGUUAGACACAGGGCCCCCUCAGCUGCAGCAACCUUUGGAUUGGUGUCAACUGGAGUGGAGCAGGGCUUGCAAUCUACCAUCCCAGCGUGAUGCAGAAUGUCUAGCAUAUACUGUGUUGAGAGAGAAGUCCAUCACCGCUUCUCUAAACAUGCAUGCCGAUGAAGUGAUGCAAUUCACCAAGGUCUUUCAUGGCGAACUCUCACGGGAGUGUUGAGAUGAUUCGGACAAAGGGAGACGGGGUGAGGAAGCUGUGAGGAUGAUGUCAUCAAUAUAGAGCAACAGGUAGGUUGUAUCUGAUCUGCGCAAGUAGACAAAAAGUGAGGUAUCUGACUUGGCUUCAACAAACCCAAGAGACAACAAGUACGUGGCCAUUCGACUGUACCAAGCACGAGGGGCCUGCUUGAGGCCAUAUAGCGACUUCUUCAGGAGGCAAACAAAAUCCGAGUGAGCUAGAUCUUUGAACCCGGACGACUGCUGGCAAUACACUAUCUCUGUCAGGUUGCCAUGAAGGAAGGCGUUCUUCACAUCGAGUUGGUGGACAAGCCAGCUCCGAGAGAGCCGGGGAGAGCACUGUGCGGACAGUAGCAGGCUUCACCACGGGAUUGAAUGUCUCAUCAAAGUCAACACUAGGCCGCUGGGUAAAGCCGUGGAGAACCUAGCGCGCUUUGUACCUCUUAAGGGAGCCAUCAAACUGAAACUUGUGCUUGAAGAUCCACUUGCCGAUGACAACGUUGGCCUGAGGGGGCGAGGCACAAGAUUCCAAGUGUGGUUCUUCAAUAGGGCAUUGUGUUCCUCCUCCAUAGCAGCUCGCCAGUUGGGAUCGGCAAGAGCGCUGUGGAAGGUCUUCAGUAUCGGUGAGAGGGGUGCGGUGUGGAACGCAACGAGCAUCCGGAAGCCAGUCUUCGACCGUGUGCCCAUGGCGUGUUGGUUGGUAACAAGAGGGACAACGUCAACACCCUUGGGCAAGGGGAGGGGCGCGGCUGGGGUAGGUGCAGCCAGGGCGGCCGGGGCAGGAGCAGUCGGAGCUAGCUAUGGUCGAGGAUGCCACGUGUAGUGGUAGGUGAAGUCACGGUCUUGACAAAGAGGUAGGAACCCGGGCGGGCGCCCAAGGGGCGCCUGAGGAAGUGACACCGACGCUGGGAGCUCGCGGUUGGGGCUGAAGACAUCGAACCCGUGUGUAGCGUAGGCUAGGAUGUACAACAGCCGUCUAGGUGUGGUGGAUGCGUCCUGGGCUGCGCGUGGCGCAGUAGAUGUCCUCGACGUGCGCAACGAUGGUGGGUUGUAGAGCGCGGGCGCCAAUGGACCACCAGCAGCCUCUGGAGGAUCAACAACAGCGGCUAGUAGCGUCGGGGGCGCUCCAGGCACAUUAUCACGGGCCCGGUAGGGGCGGUGGUGGGUCGUGUCCCUGUAGGCAAAAAACUAUGCAACGAUCCAAUGGGAGCGGCACAACAUCAAUAGCAUCAAGGAACUCGAAAUCUGCUGGAAAACUAGGACCAUGGCGCUCAGCGAAAGGAAAGGUCGUUUCAUCGAAGAGGACGUGCCGGGAGAUGAUGACUAUUGGUGGAGAGGUCAAGGCAGCGUUAUCCUUUAUGAUGGGCGGAAUAGCCUAGGAAGAUGCACAAGGCAGACCAAGGAGCGAGUUUAUGAGGAGCGGUGGCGGACAAAUUUGGAUAACACUUGCAGUCGAAGACUCGUAGGUGAUCAUACACCGGCGGCAUGCCGUACAAGGCAAGGUGAGGUGUGGAUAACUGUAGAGUCUUGGUGGGCAAGAUCUUAAGCAACAAAGUCGCCAUGGAGAGGGCCUCCACCCACUAGGAGGGAGGCAUAGACGCCUGAAAGAGCAGUGAGCGAACGACAUUAUUGAUGGAGCGAAUAAUGCGUUCAGCUUUACCAUUUUGAGGCGAGGUGUAGGGGCAAGACUUGCGUAGAUAGAUGCCUUGGGUGAGGAAGAAGUGGCGGGUGCCGGAGUUGUCAAACUCGUUCCCAUUGUCGCACUGGACAGCCUUGACGCGAGCGCCAAAUUGUGUGGAGACGUGGGCGAUGAACUGAGCAAGCAUAUUGAAAGUUUUAGAUCUGAGUCAUAAAGGAAAAGUGCACAAGUAGUGAGUGCAAUCAUCAACUGUAACCAAAUAGUAUUUGUAACAGGAAACACUGACAACCGGGGAGGUCCACAAGUCACAAUGAAUAAGAUCAAACUUGCUAGACACACAAGGUGGAGACAUGAAAGGGUAGACGAACAUGAUGGCCUAACUGACAAGCAUGACACAAAUCUGAACAAUCUUUAAUUUGACAUGACACUAGACGCAGCUUCGACAACGCCUCAUGAUCGGGGUGGCUGAGACGCCGAUGCCACAACGGGGAGGGAGCGUGGGCGACAAGGGAGUGUGCUGGAGGUAGGUGCAGUGGGUAGAGCGGCCCAUAGCUGUUGCACCUGACGAUCUUGGUCCGAGAUGGAAGAGUGUUAGCAAUAGGCGCCCUAAUGGGCUGUAUGGGCCGGUGCGGUUAAGCACCGUAGGGAUUAAGAUAGAUUGAUAAGGCAAGGAUCACCGUUGAUUGGGUGUUUCUAUAAACCCUUAGGGAUCCUUGCCUAUAUAUGUACCCCUGUACCCCCUUGAUCAAUUAUCUAAUCCCGAGGCUAAUUGCUCUCAUGGUAUCUCGUCUAGGUUAGGUCACCUUCCGCUGCAUCACGUGCGCCGGCCCCUCGCCGCGCCGUAUCCCGCGCGCCGGCCUCUCGCCGUGCAGCGCUUCCUUCUUCCCCUCACCGCGCGCCCUGCCCUGCUGUGCUGCGCGCCCCUGCCAUGUCGCCCUCCCCUCCCAACGACGGGCAGGACCGCACUGCCUCCUCCGGUUCCGUCCAAGAUGACGAGAUCGCCCAGCGAACCGCCCAGGAGCAGGCCAACGCCGUUGCCGCCGCCGCCCAGCAGCUGGAGCGCGAACGCGCCGCGACCCGCGAUGCUGCCUUGGCCCGCGCCCUCGCUGCGGAACAGGAGGCCGCGACUGCGACCCAGGAGCGCGCCGCCGCCGCCAAACGCGCCUCCAACGCCCUCGCGCGCGCAGCCCUGGAGCGGGCGGCAGCUGCUGCCGCCGAGGCUCCUUCCUCGUCUGGGACUCCACCCGGCGGUGCCGCUGCACAAAACGACAGCGCCCCACCUGAUCUCCGCGCCGCCAUGCUUCAUCACGAAGCUGUGGCCCUACUUCAACUUCACUCCCAGGCUGUCGCCGUCAGCAACAUCCGGAACCACGUCACCACCGUCCUCGACGUCGACUCCGGUAACUUCAAUCGCUGGUGUGAUCAGUUCCUCCUCAUCCUCGGCAAAUUCACCCUCCAGGAUCACGUUCGCGACGAACCUCCAGUCCCCAUCUCUCCGGAUUGGGCCCGGAUGGACUGCGUCGUCAAAUCCUGGAUCAUCGCCACCCUCACGGACGAUCUGGGUGAGAUCAUCCGCGCCCAGGGCUCCACAGCCCGGCACGCCUGGCUCGCGGUGGAGUCGCAGUUCCUCGGCAAUCGGGAGGCUCGCUCCAUUCAGCUGGAGACGAAGUUUCGCAACUUCGUGCAAGGGGACCUCUCCAUCACCGACUACAGCCGCCGAUUGAAGAAGAUGGCUGAUGAUCUCACGGCCCUCGGCGAGGUCAUCACCGAUCGUACCCUCGUCCUCAACCUCAUCCGCGGCCUCAACGAGCGCUUCGCCCACGUCGGCACCCUCCUUCGCCGUGCCAAGCCCUUCCCCACGUUCCUGGAAGCUCGUGAAGACCUCAUUCUUGAGGAACUCACCAUGACGGAUCGUAAGGACACUCCAGCAGCUGCCCUCGCCGCCUCCACUACUCCCGCCGCGACGCCUCCACCUUCUGCAGGUUCUGGCGGGGGUUCUAAGGCCCCCAACAACCGCCGCAGCAAGCGCGGUGGCGGCAACAAGGGGCACGGCAACAGCAGCGCUUCAGGACAGGGCUCCCGGCCGCCUGCCGGCAGCGCACAACAGCAGCACACUGCUGCCCAGCAACCUGGAGGAGGGCGCCCUUGGCCCAGCUUCUUCAACCCCUGGUCCGGCCCCUGGCACCCAUCCCCGUGCCUCCUCAUCUCCAGGCGCAGCACCAGGCACAUCAGCAAGCGCAGCAACAGGCACAGCAGCAGGCCCUGCUCGCUCAGCAGCAGCAGGCACUUGUUGCUCCCCAGCAGCAUGCUGCACCGUGGGUCGCUCCGGGGUUUUACAACCCCAUGACUGGCCCGCCUUCCUGGGACUCGACGGAUCUCGCUGCCUCCUUCAGCACGACCUCGCUGACGCCUCCUCCGUCCAACGAGUGGCACUUCGAUUCAGGUGUUACUUCACAUAUGACAUCUCAACCCUCCUCUCUUUCACAUGUUCUUCUCCCGCGGUACCCUACUCCUUCAUCUAUUAUUGUCGGUAAUGGCUCUCUUAUUCCUGUCACUGCCACUGGUUCCACAGAGUUAGUCUCAAAUCUACGUCUUAAUAAUGUCCUUGUGUCGCCAUAAAUUAUUAAGAAUCUAAUCUCUGUUCGCCAGUUUACUCUCGACAAUAAUUGCUCUGUUGAGUUUGACCCCGCUGGUUGUUCUGUGAAGGUUCUUCCGUCUCGGAGAGAGAUCGUCAGGUGUAAUAGCUCCGGACCCUUGUACCCGCUUCGCCUUCCACCAGCACUCUCCUUUGCCACUCAGGGCUCCUCUCCACUGUGGCAUUGGCGUCUUGGGCAUCCUGGUCAUGAGACCUUGUCAAAGCUUGCGUCUACGUCUAGUGUUUCUUCUCCUAUUCAGGAUUGUUCAUAUUUAUGUCAUGCUUGUCAGCUAGGGCGUCAUGUUCGCUUGCCCUUUCAUGUGUCCACAUCUCGUGCGUCUAGCAAGUUUGAUCUCAUUCAUUGUGAUUUAUGGACCUCUCCAGUUGUUAGCAUCUCUGGUUAUAAAUACUAUUUGGUCAUUCUUGAUGAUUGCACUCAUUAUUUGUGGACUUUUCCUUUACGACUUAAAUCUGACACUUUCAGCACGCUCGCGCAAUUCAUCGCCCAUGUCUCCACUCAGUUUGGUGCUCGCGUCAAAGCCGUUCAGUGCGACAACGGGAAAGAGUUUGACAACUCCAGCACCCGCCAUUUUCUUCUCUUCCAGGGCAUUCACCUCCGCAUGUCCUGCCCCUACACCUCAUCCCAGAAUGGUAAAGCUGAACGCAUUAUUUGCUCUAUCAAUAAUGUUGUUCGCUCCCUGCUCUUUCAGGCGUCCAUGCCUCCCCAGUACUGGGUGGAGGCACUCUCCACGGCGACUGUUCUCCUCAACAUUUUGCCCACCAAAACUCUAGAGUUCUUCACGUCUCAUCUUGCCUUAUUUGGUAAGCCUGCCACAUAUGAUCAUCUGCGAGUUUUUGGUUGCAAAUGUUACCCCAAUAUAUCUGCCACCGCCGUUCACAAACUUGCUCCUAGGUCUGUCCUGUGUGUCUUCCUAGGCUAUUCCGCUCAUCAUAAAGGGUACCGCUGCCUUGACCUCUCCUCCAACAGAGUCAUCACCUCUCGGCACGUCAUCUUCGAUGAAACGGCCUUUUCCUUUGCUGAGCGCUAUGGUUCUAGCACUCCAGCAGACCUCGAAUUUCUUACAGAUACUACUGAUGUCGUGCCUGCUCCUAUUGGACCAUCGCACAAGUCUUUGCCUGCAGGAAAUUCGCCCAGCACCUCCGACGCCGUCGCUUGCGCCCCUGCCGGUCCCUGUGAGGCUGUGCUUGGGGCGCCCUCUGAGGAUGUUGACGCUGAAGACACCCUGACGCCCGCACUCUACGUACCUCCUGCGCUACGGGUGUCAGGACCACCUCCACCGACGACCGCGACCGCGCCACGCGCGGCCACCAGGAGCCCAUCCGCGCCAUGCGCGGCCCUGGAGCUGCCUGACGCCCUGCGUCAUGGAUCAGCUUCCCCUUCAGCACCUCCCCAGGCGCCGCGCGGGCCACCACCAGGAUUCCUUCCUCUCCGGCCGGCUCGCUACUUCACGCACGUCUACGAGCGACGACCACGUGAGCCACUUGCGACUGCCCCGGCCACCUCACCGGUCGCCCCUGCUGCAGCACCUUCGCUGCCUCCUGCUGCACCGGUCGUCCCCGCACCUGCUGCAGCAGCCCCGCUGCCCAAGGGUGCGGUUGCAGUCCCUCCGCGGACCAACCAGCACCCCAUGGCCACUCGAUCGAAGAGCGGCUACAGGAUGCCCUCUAUCUACCACGCCGUGCCUCUCUCUCCGGUGCCGAAGACCUUCCGUAGCGCUCUUGCUGAUCCCAAUUGGCGAGCCGCUAUGGAGGACGAACACAGUGCUCUUCUUCAGAAUCACACCUGGGAUCUUGUGCCUCGCCCUCCUCGGGCCAAUGUUGUCACUGGGAAGUGGAUCUUCAAGCACAAGUUUCGGUCUGAUGGUUCCCUCGAGCGGUACAAGGCGCGUUGGGUUCUCCGUGGUUUUACCCAACGGCCUGGUGUGGACUUUGAUGAGACCUUCAGUCCUGUGGUGAAGCCCGCUACUGUUCGCACGGUUCUCUCCCUGGCACUCUAAAAGCCCUAGUUUGGUUUUGGAUAAUUGAUGAAACCUUAGUACUAACCUCUAUGCUAAGUGUGUGUAGACUUAAUGAGGUUGGUACAUGCCAAGUGAUGGAGCAAAUGAUGAUCAUGGUGAUGAUGGUGAUGACCACAAGAUGAUCAAGUGCUCAACUUGGAAAAGAAGAAAGAGAAAAACAAAACCCUAUGGAGAUCAAGGCAAAGGUAUUGCUUAGGGUUUUGGUUUUGGUGAUCAAGACACCAUAGAGGGUGUGAUCACAUUUAGGAUAGAUAGUCGUACUAUAAAGAGGGGAAUUCUUUGGCUAAGCGGUUAUCAAGUGCCACUAGGUGUCAUUGUUCAUGUGCAUGCAUUUAGAACCUAGUGAGCUAACUUAACUCCUUCGAAGAAAUUAAUUGUGAAAAUGCUAACACACGUGCACUUGUUGGUACACACUUUGUGGUGUUGGCACACUUUGAGAAGGAGGUGGAGUUUGAAGGGUAGAGGGAGGAUGGGUUCCUCUCUUCGAGAAAAUGAAGUGCAUAUUUUCUAUUGCGCCGGUGGGAAAUUUGGAGAAGUCGCGGGAGUGUUUCUCGCUGAGAAAACACUCACCGGACGCUGGCCACUGAGGCACCGGACGCUAAGUCUGAGCGUCCGGUGCAGACAGUGCCUAGCCCAGCUAGGGUAAGGCACCGGACGAUAGGCACCGGACGCUGGCUUGAGCGUCCGGUGGUGCGCGUCCGGUGUGCGGGCGUCUUGGCGACCCUCUCUGCGCACGAGUCCGGUGAGCACCGGACGCUCAGGGUGCGUCCGGUGGCUAGCGUCCGGUGUCCCGCAGGUUUGCGGAACUCUCUGCGCAUGAGUCCGGUGUGCACCGGACGCGUCCGGUGCCAACUUGCUUAGCGUCCGGUGCACUGCAGGUGACCGUUAGACUCUGACACGCGGCUGACGUUGGAGCACCGGACGCUGGUGCUGAGCGUCCGGUGCCCCUUUAAGAGCGUCCGGUGACCCCGUAUUUCGCCCAGUGAAAGAGCCAACGGCUCUAUUUGUUUGAGGGGCUAUAAAUACGUGUUUGGCCGGCUUGGGGCUCACUCUCUUGGCAUUCUAACAUACUUGACAUCCUUGUGAGCCUAAGCAAACACCUCUCACUCAUCUCCUUCAUAGAUUAUACAUCUUUGUGAGAUUGGGAGUGAUUCCAAGUGCAUUUGCUUGAGUGAUUGCAUCUAGUGGCACUUGGGGAUCGUUCUAGCUACGGUUUUCUUGUUACUCUUGGUGGUUGCCGCCACCUAGACGGCUUGGAGCAGCGGAGGAGGAUUGGCACGAGUUGGUGAUUGUUCGUGGCCAUCUUCCGGUGAUUGUGAGGGGAUUUGUACCUUCCCCGGCGGAGAGCCGAAAGGUAACUCUAGUGGAUUGCUCGUGUCAUUGAGUUACCUCACUUGUGGGUAGGUUCUUGUGGUGUC